RNAcentral lists this long non-coding RNA (57565 nucleotides) under Coffea arabica (coffee). RNAcentral describes it as "long non-coding RNA (CARA_LNC004306)". The record is from RNAcentral. Lineage: Eukaryota; Viridiplantae; Streptophyta; Magnoliopsida; Gentianales; Rubiaceae.
CACCAACUAGUGUGAAAUAUAAAUCUAUCUGUUAAGAGAUACAAAAUGCAGGUCUUAACAUCAAUAUAUAACAUUAGACCUCCCAAAACACUCUAACUCUACUUGAUCAUCCUUCAGACUUCAACCCCUGUAAGGAAAACAAAACUAAAUGGCUGAGCUAAAGCUCAGUGAGGCUUGCCAAGCAAGUUACAUAAAAUAAACACUUAAAUCAGUACAAUUAAGCAAGUAGUACACAUUUCACUGUACAAUCACUUUCAUUAAGUAAUUGAGAAACACUUCGCUAAACAAUCACUUUUAAAAGGAUACGGUGCUCGCAUUAGAGCUACUUCAAUGUCAUUGAGCAUUCAUUUCAGUGUCAAGAGACAUUCAUUUCACUGUCAUUGUACAUUCAUUUCAAUAUCACUGAACAUUCUGCCAAUUCACUUCCUUAUGUCCUCCAAAACAAUAAACAAUUCACUACAUUCAAUAAUCAGUUCAAUAAUCUCCCAACCUCAUGAUAAUACUCGAGUAUAUCGAAACAUUUGCCCAAAGCUGCCGUUCUACCCGACCAAGCCCUUUGCUGGCUCGAAUAGUCCAUUGAAUAGAGGGUUUUCGGGCCCAAUUCAGCCAAUGUGAUAAAAUACACACACGGCUUACAGUCAUGCACACUUACAAUAUCACUUGAUCAAUUAUCAACCUUCAAACUCAACUAAGGCGAGUGCGAUAAAGUACACCCUCGGCUUAGAAGGCAAGGGACAAUUGAGAUACACUUUGCAAUGAAUCACUUAGCAAUAUUUCAUAAUAAGCACAUUUAUCACAUAAUUUCACUUAAGUAACAUAAACAGUUAAACAUAUAAAUUCGGAAACACUCACCGUAAUCAAAAAUUACACUUCGAUCUCGGAAUUGCUUUCUUGCACACCUCUAUCUCCUAAGACAAGUUAUAAUAGCCAUAAUCAUUUAACUACUCAUUUGGUGAGGUUCUAAAGUAUAAUCAACAUACGUGUUGUAUUCUAGCCUUAAGUCACCAUUCCAGCUGAAUUCUCAGCUAUUGCUUUGUUUAAAUGAGGCGACUAGUGCAUUUCUUACAUUCACUCGUCACUUCGACUUUUAGUUUUCAAAAGAGAGGAAGUUUAAGUGGCAAUUCCAGUAUUGUGACUUCAGUACUUUUAUACUGCUAGAUUUAUCGUACUAAAACUCAACAUUAACCUUUAAUAAGGUAAAUUUUAGAAAUAACUACCUUUAAGGUACUUUAUUGUCCUAUAAAUCUCUUUUACUUACUUAUGAUCAUGAGUAAAACUAGUUUAUUACCUUGACAGUGAACAUACAAUGCUUAUAAAGCCGUUUGAAUCAUGUUUUAUUUGUAUAUCUUUUCAUAUAAGUUUUAUAGCCUUUUAGAUCCCUAUAGUUGAUAUAACAACUGUUCUCAUCCAUUUAUCCAUUUAUCUUUAUGUCCGACUGCUAAUUACUCACCAAUUUAAGGUUUAAAUUACUAGAACUCAAGUCCCUUAGCUUGUCACACAAGAUGCAACAAUUCCAGCAACCUUCCUCACAUUUCUCUUCAAGAUUCAUCAAAUUUAUCAACUCAAACAAGGGAAAUAUUCAUGUAUACCAAAUUUAAGGUCUUGUAAGGUGUUUAAACUAAGGUUAAACUAUUUUCAUGCCAAAUUUAAAGAUUAAGGUUAGUGAACUUUUCAUUUCUUUCCUUUUAAGCUAAACCAGAUUCUAGUUUGCUUGUUGUUUAAAUUUGCUCCAAUUCACCAGCUUUUCAAGUGUUAAAAUCAAUAAGAUGUACAUGAAAACUAGGACAAGAUGUUAUAAGAUGUUUUACUUAAGAUUACAGCCAAUUAUCAUGGAAUUUUCGAAAUUAACAUGAGAGUUUCAGCCUUCACCCUCUCUCGGCCAGCAAAACAGAUUUUCCAGCAACAUUACUCCAAAAUUUUCAACAAGGUUUCCAUCCUUUGCUUGCUUUAAACACUAAACACUUAACAUACAUUCUGUCCAAUAUGAAAUGAAUCAUAUAACAGGUAAUUGCAGCAAAUUAUUCCACCAAGAAGUCCCCAUAAAUCUGUCAUCAGCUAACAUAUAAUCUUCCAGCAAUUUGACAGUUUAAAUGUGAAACUUUCUCCACAAAUUCUUCAUUUUUCCACUCCAGCUCAACAUGCAGAGUGUAGUUAUCAUGCUACGGUGUAUCUUGUGCAACAAUAUGAAAUUUACAGCCAAAGAUUCAAAGGGAAAGCUGGAUAAAAUUUUGUUUCCUUCUCUCGGCCAUGCUGAAAAAUUUCAGCAGCUUUCUUUCAACAUUUCAAGCCAAAUCUAUCAACAUUUUUACUAGUUCCACAAAUAGAUAUCCUAUAAGAUCAGAGAUGAACCUAUUUCAUGCACUCCUAGCAUAAUUCUCCAAAGGAAAUUCUGGUAACAAGCUGCAAUUCCAGGUUCACUCUCUCGGCCAUCACAGAGUUUUCUUGUAGCUCUUAAUCAGUCAUUAAACAGAAUUUUUCCUCAGCCAAAACUCAUUUUUCCUAGCUAAAACUUAACAUGCAGCUUAAGUAUUCAGUUAUACUAGAUAAUUAAAAGAUUGUUGCAGCAUUUUACCUGCCUUUUUCUAACAAUCGAAGCUUGAAAAGAAGAAACCCGCAGGCAGACUCCUUCCUCCUUCGUUUCCUCAUGAUGAAAGCCCCAAGUUCCCCUUUUUUCUACCUUACUCUCUUACUCAUUCGGUUGACUGGAAGGAAAGAAUGGAAUCAGAGAGCUCCCUCACUCUCACUCUUUCUCUCGGUUUUGGGUAUGGAAAAGGAAGAAAGCUUAGUACACUGUUAUCUCUAUUUGUUUGCUCUCGGUUGAAGUCCAAAAUGGCAGAGCACUUCCUUUCUCUCGGUCAUUACUUAACUCAGCAAAUGUUCCACCGCCCAACUGUCAGACAAUUUCUACUCCUUUUCCUUUCCACCACUUGAUCUAUUAGAGGCUUGCAUUCGGUUCCUAUCACAGCAAAUCUUACUUUCUCUAGGUUUUAUUUCUGAAUUAUGAUAGUUCGUGUGAUGGCUGCAUGGUAUUUAGUCUUGAAGUUUGAGGUCGGUUUGGUCUUUUUGUUGUAGUUUAUUUGCUCACUAAGGUCUAAAAUUUUGUGAUUUCAUGCAUGGACUCCUAACUUCGUUUGUAUUUUAGUGAAUAAUUUUCUUACAUUGAUUUUGACACAUUUAACUUUAAGAAAAACUUAUUGGACAUGUACUUCUUAAACUUCUAGUGUAUGUUACGUGUCUAGUAAUAUUUGCAAAUAAUAUAAUUUACAAUAUGCGCGUCAUCUAUUUAUUUAAUUCGUAAAAUUUUUCUAUACCAUUUUAGGAUAUUUCCUAAAUUCUCAAUUUUAUAAUAAUUCAAUUAGGCAUUUAAUUUAACCACUUAUUCGUUAUAUGUUAUAUUUUCAAUAUCAAGGUAAAUAAAAUAAAAUAAAUGCAAAGCACACACGUAAUUAUUCAAGUUCUCACAUUACCUGUGACGGCCCGGUCUCCUCCUAGGGCAUACCCUAGAAGUUAGUGGAUCGCUCGCCUGACUCUCGCCAAGACUCAUUCACUAACAUUAACUUCAAAGAUAACAAUUCUCAUUAAUCAUCCAAACAUCCAUUCUUAAUACUUCUUAAUAAGACAAAAGCUUUAUCCACUACAAAUUACAAAAGUGAAUCAUCCAAACAUUCAUUAUUAAGUACAUCACCAACUAGUGUGAAAUAUAAAUCUAUCCGUUAAGAGAUACAAAAUGCAGGUCUUAACAUCAAUAUAUAACAUUAGACCUCCCAAAACACUCUAACUUUACUUGAUCAUCCUUCAGACUUCAACCUCUGUAAGGAAAACAAAACUAAAGGGUUGAACUAAAGCUCAGUGAGGUUUGCCGAGCAAAUUACAUUUUAUAAAUACUUAAAUCAGUACAAUUAAGCAAGUAGUGCACAUUUCACUAUACAAUCACUUUCAUUAAGUAAUUGAAGAAACACUUCACUAAACAAUCACUUUUAUAAAGAUACGGUGCUCGCAUUAGAGCCACUUCAAUGUCAUUGAGCAUUCAUUUCUGUGUCAAGAGACACUCAUUUCACUGUCAUUGCACAUUCAUUUCAAUAUCACUGCAUAUUCCGCCAAUUCACCUCCUUAUGUCCUCCAAAACAAUAAAAAAUCCACUACAUUCAAUAAUCUGUUCAAUAAUCUCCCAACCUCAUGGUAAUACUCAAGUAUAUCGAAACAUUUGCCCAAAGCUACUGUCUUACCCGACCAAGCCCUUUGCUGGCUCGAAUAGUCCGUUGAACAGAGGGUUUUGGGGCCCAGUUUAGCCGAUGCGGUGAGGCACACAUACGGCUUACAUUCAUGCACACUUACAGUAACAUUCAGUCAAUUAUCGACCUUUAAGCUCAACUAAAUCGAAUGUGAUAAAGUACACCCUCGACUUAAAAGGCAAGGGACAAUUGAGAUACACUUCACAAGGAAUCAUUUAAUAAUAAUUCAUAAUAAGCGCAUUUGUCACAUAAUUUCACUUAGAUACACAUAAACAGUUUAACAUAAAUUCGAAAAACACUCACAAAUUAUCCAAAUAAUUUACUCUUGAGUCUCGAGUUUGUUUCCUGACUCGCAGCUACUUCCUGAGAUAAAUAUAUAAUUCCAUGGUAAAUUUAUAAUUUGUAGAUGUUCACCUAUUUUUUAAAUCAUUCGAAUUAGGUUUGACUUUAAAAUAUAAUAUAUAACAAAUUCAAUAUUUAUUCUACCUUAUUGUUUAAACUAUUAAAAUCAAGUCUGACCUUAAAAUACAAAAUAUACGCAAUAUUUAUUCCCCAAUUUAUUUUGAGACUUAUUGACUUUAUUAUCUUAAAUCAACAAAUACACAUACUUUCCAAAUUAAUAAUUUAUAAAAUGUUUACAUUAGAAUUAAAUCAUUUUCUACUCAAGAUUCUAAGUUUAAAACUUAGGAAUAUUCCAUUGGUUCCCUUUUUAAAUUAGUUAAACUCUAAGUUGUUUGUAAACUAAAUUUUAUUCCACUACACUCGUUCCUCAAAUUUAUAGUUUUUAACAUAUGUGUAAAGACAAUAUUAAGUGAUUAGAAGCCAAUUUAGGUAUAUAACUAUCAUGAGUUUUCUUCUCAUUUGCUUUAAUUUAACUCUACUCGUGGAACUAGAUAUAGUUGUUAAAUCUCAGAGCAACCUUAGCUAUCAUUUAUGAAAGCUUACAGGGUUGGAAAUUAGAUGAAAUGCUGUUCAAAAAUAGGUUUCCUCACGGCCAGCAUCAAGUAGAAUGCAUUCAGAAAAACAAGAGAGAGGCAACGAGAAAGGCAGCUUUGCCAAUCUCUGGUGUUUUGAUCGUAACUGGAGCUACACUUAUGGGAUUGAGGCGAAUUUUAUACCAUCAACAUUUCUUAUGAAGACAUCGACACUCAGUUCUCACAUUUUCAGGGUAAAAAAUGGCCGGACAAAAGCACAUUCUACUUCACUCCCACGGCCAACCAACCUGCACUCAUUUCAACUUUAGUAUUUAGUUGAGUUUCUACUGGUUCCAAUCUUCCUUGUUGAGGUUUAAGGUCCGUAUGACAUGUUACAUUUACUACACAGGUUUAGAAGUUAAAGUUUAUAGAGGAUCUGUGACAGCCCAACCUUCCCCUAAGGCAUACCAAAGAAGUUAGCGGACUGCCUGCCCAACUCUCGCCAGGAUAACUAAGACGGUUAUACACAACUCAAAACGUGCCGGAAUACAGUAGCGCGCGUAAACAAAGCAAAAAUCAUGAAACAGAAAAAGAAAAUCGAAACUGAAACUGAAUAGCGCCUGCCACGUCACCAUCCGACCGGGACCCAAUCGAAUACAAGUGACUUCAUAUAAUCCUUGAAAUGGACAUAUAUAAACCAAACAUAACACAUGAACAUGAGUACACGCUUUUAUCGACCACAUUCGUAUUUUUACAAAUCAAAAGGGAACAUUUGAAUCCAAGUACAAUUAGGGUUUCCAACCAUUGAGGAGCUAUACAAAAUAUCUAAACUAGCUCAACUCAUGCUUCAAAAUCACAGUUCCAAAAGUGGUUCCCUGUAAGGAAAACAAAGAUAACGGAACGGGGUGAGUUAGAAGCUCAAUGAGGUACCAAAAGCAUAACAGUGGAAAUCAUGAGAAAAAACUUUUAGGGCAUACAUACACAUCAAAUAAGAGAAAAAAACGAACACCACUGAUAGGGUGCAAUUUAUUCAUUUAUUUUAUUAUUAAUUCCUCCUAUUACCUGACUUGAUGUGGAUUUAUUUGCUGGAUUCUACUCACUUUUAGUAUUUGACGUUUAUUUCAGGGAGUAGAAUAUAAAUAUGAUAACAGGUGCCAAAUUGGGAAAAAAAAGAAUUCAGAUGAGAAAGCUUGUCCCAGGGGCACUUUUGGAAGAGAAGAUGUCAUGCCCAUUUUGGUAAUUUUCGCAAGGAAAUGACGGACGGAGGGCUUCGCUUCCUGUGGAGGUCCCGCCGCAAUUAAAAGAGGGAAAGGCAGCAACCCUGUGGGAGCUAGCUUGUUCUUGAUUCUCCGUCUGGAGCUUAGCAGCAAUUUUUGACUUUUCCCUUGUAAUUCACUUUUUGGCUUGAGAAGCCUACGGAUGUUAGGAAGAAAAGGCAUUUGUUAGCCUCGGGCUUUGACUUUUCCUUUUCCUCUCUUUUGAAUCCUGCGCAUGGCAGGAGCAUUGGAGAAUUGUUUCUUUUGACUUUUUUCUUUAGCUUGAGACGAAGUGAAAACCACGAACUUUCGUAGCUUUUCUAUUCAUUCGAUAUAUUGAGACGAAUUGGAUUUUGCCAAAUUUCAACGGACAUGGCCGCUGGUUUCUCUGCAAUUUUGUGUGGGUUUAGUUCAUCAAUUAUGAACUAAUUUUUCCACUCUAGUCAAAGAGCAAUGGAUGCUUUGGGUCACCUAAAAUUGUGAGAUCAUUCUAAUUUAAUCUUUUCCUUUUAUUUAUCGGUAUUCGCAUAUUCCUUGAUUGCUAAGCUUAUGGUUAUUUAAUUAAUUGGUUGUCUUGGAUCCGGAUAAUUAAUUGAUUGGGUAAUCUAUUGUCAAUUGGGGUAUUAAAUUCGUAAUUGUUUAAUUGCCUCAAAAUAGUGACAGCUGGCAUGAUUAGAUUUGUGUCAGGGGAUUACGUGGGCUAAUCUAAAAUAACCCUGGUAGUGCGUUAUUUGGUUAGAAUAGGGCUCCUCUAAUACGUAAGGCAAUUGGGAAAUUAAAUCUUACGGGCGUACCUAGGAUUAUUUCUCAGUUAGAGCAGUGAUUAACGGGCGUACCUUGAUCACCGACACAGUAAGGAGGAGUUGGCUGCCAUCGCUUGUUUGGUAGUUAUAACCUAUUUAUUGGUAAAUAAGUGGGAUUGGCUUUGCAUCAAUGAUCAAUUAGGCGAACCAUUGCUGAAGUUACUUCUUGGCUAGAUCUUUAGUUAAUAUUUUCUUGAUUGUAGUGGAUUGCCAUUUGACUUUUAAUUGCCUACUUUAUUUUAUUUUUGAUUGUUUCCUCGUUUUAAUUAAUUUAGGCCUUUAAUUAUUGUUAUCCUGAGUUCAGAAAAUUGUGGUUUAAUUUCUAGUUAGUUGUUUAUUUUUACUUUCCCAUUUGAAUUUAUUUAAUUAUCGUCGUUCCUACAAAAUCACCCCCUGUGUCACUUUGGAUUUCUUAAGAAACGAAUAUACCCAAUCUCUGUGGAUACGACCCUACUUACCCUGUCUACAAAUUCAUAAUCACUUGUGAAAAGGAAUAACCAUUCCAUUCGGGUAUAUCGGAUCAAGCAAAUUUUUCGGGAACAGGGUGAAUCAAGUAACCCAUUGCACACCUAGAGUCCCUGCUCCAGUACUUGGAAUUGGAUUUUGGUCAUUUUAACUGGCAAUUAGGUUUAAUUUUAUUAUUGCACAGGCUGACGACCUGUCAAUUUUUGACGCCGCUGCCGGGGACUGGCGUUAUUAUUUGUUUCUUUUUAAAUUCAAUUUUUGUCUUAAUUUUCUGGUUUUCUUCUAGUGUAUGCCUCGAUCUUCUCGCACAGGUGAUUUGGUUUUUGACCCUGAGGUAGAGAAGACCGCGCGUAGAACGAGAAAGGAAACCAGACAGCUCAGAGAAGAGCACUCUAGUGCUACAUCUCAAAGACCCGAGUCAGAAGUUGAACCAACAGAUUCGUUUGGUAACACUUCGAGUGACUCUGACCAGGAGGAGUUCACCAUGGCUAAUGCACAAACAUUAAGGGAGUUGGCUGCUCCUGAUUUAACUCAGCAGCCUUUGUGCAUUACUUUCCCCGCUUUAAAUGACAACAUUCCAUUUGAACUAAAAUCUGGUCUGAUUCAGCUUUUACCCUCUUUUCAUGGUUUACCAGGUGAAGAGCCGUAUAAGCAUCUGCAGGAGUUUGAUGUCGUGUACAAUAGUAUGAAACCCCCAGAAAUCACAGAAGAGCAGAUAAAAAUGAGGGCAUUCCCCUUCUCCUUGAAAGAUUCUGCGAAGGACUGGCCGUACUACCUGUCACCAGGUAGCAUCACCACGUGGGGCCAAUUGAAGAAAAAAUUUCUGGAUAAAUAUUUUCCUGCGUCCAGGGCUGCAAGUCUAAGGAAGGAAAUUUGUGGGAUCAAGCAGCAUCCAGGGGAGUCACUUUACGAGUAUUGGGAACGGUAUAAGAACUUGUUGCGCAGGUGCCCCCAACACCAAAUAAGUGAGCAGUUGAUCAUACAAUAUUUUUAUGAGGGGCUCAUUUUUAGAGACAGGAGCAUCAUUGAUGCUGCAAGUGGAGGGGCACUGGUGAACAAAACCCCUCAGGAAGCACGGGAGCUAAUAGAGGGGAUGACAGAGAAUUCACAGCAAUUCAGUACAAGAGAGGAUGUCCCAAUACGUAGGGUGAAUGAGGUAGAGACACCCUCUAUACAGCAGCAGCUAAAUGAGUUAACUGCGUUUGUUAGGCAACAGGCUGUGAGAAAUGCAUCACAAGCCAGGGUAUGCGGGAUUUGCACUGGUAUAGGCCACUCUGCAGACAUGUGCCCAAUGAUUCAGGAAGAAACUGCAGAACAGGUGAAUAUGGCUGACCACGAGCCCGCGCCAAGGAAGCAGUACGACCCUUACUCAAACACCUACAACCCCGGGUGGAGAGAUCAUCCCAACCUCAAUUAUCGAGGGAAUAGGCAAUCCAACUUCACGCCGAACAGGCAGUCUAACUUUGUGCCGAAUAAGCCACCAGGGUACCAGCAGCAAUACCAACCCCGACCACCUCCGCCACCUCAAUCUGGUUCAUCUACGGAGGAGAUGCUGAAACAAAUGAUGACAACCAUGGCGCAAAAUCAGCAAAGGACGGAGGCAGCUAUUAUGCAAAAUCAGCAAAAGACGGACUCCGAAAUGCAGGACAUAAGGAAUCAGAUAGGUCAAAUGGCCACCAGAAUUAAUAGUUUGGAGUCCCAGAACCAAGGGAAGCUGCCAUCUCAACCGGAGUUGAAUCCGAAGAACGUGAGCGCAAUGACCCUAAGGAGUGGGAAAGAAAUUCAGGGGCCUGAACCUGUGAUUUCCAAGGACAAGGAUGAAGAGAAGAUCGAAAAUGAUCUUGAAAGGGAGGACAGCAAUGGUGCAGAUCCAAAGGUACUUCAUGACCCAAUAAUUACAGUUAAAACUAACCCACCUCCUUUUCCUAGCAGGUUGGAAAAAUCGAAGAAACAGGAUAAGGAAAAGGAGAUCUUGGAGGUUUUUCGCAAGGUUGAGAUAAAUAUCCCCCUCUUGGACGCCAUCAAACAAGUACCAAAAUAUGCCAAGUUCCUAAGGGACUUGUGUGUAAACCGAAGGCGAUUGAGGGGAGAUGAACGGGUCAUAGUUGGGAAAAAUGUGUCUGCGGUCCUGCAGAGAAAGCUCCCACCAAAGUGCGGGGACCCAGAUAUGUUUACUAUUCCCUGUAAGAUAGGUAAUACUGUGAUCAGAAGGGCCAUGUUGGAUUUGGGAGCAUCAAUAAAUGUCAUGCUUAAGUCUAUCUAUGCUUCUCUAAAAUUAGGUCCAUUAAAAGAAACUGGAAUAAUCAUUCAAUUAGCUGACCGAACUAAUGCAUAUCCUGAUAGGUUGGUUGAAGAUGUGUUGGUAAAAGUUAAUGAUUUGGUGUUUCCAGCUGAUUUUUAUGUACUUGAUAUGGAUGAUGAUCACUCCCCUGAUUCCUCACCUCUGUUAUUGGGUAGACCUUUUAUGAGCACAGCACAGACGAAAAUUGAUGUUAAUAAGGGUAUUCUGUCCAUGGAGUUUGAUGGGAAAAUUGUGCAUUUUAAUAUUUUUGAUACUAUGAAGUACCCCUCGAACUCCAACUUUAGCUCAGUUUUUUCUGUGAGUGCUAUUGACCCUGUAGUACAGGAAGUGUUUGAAACUGAUGGCAGGGAUGAGAUGGAGGUGGCUUUAACCAAGCACCUCGAGUUGGAGACAACUCCUCAGGUGGAGUGGAGUGAGGAUUUAGAAUGCACAAUAGGUGCAUUACACUCGUUGCAGACCACCACGAAAAGGUAUGAAGUCUUACCUAUUUUUACUCCCGAGCCUCACCAGAGGGUAUUGCCAUCUGUGGUGCAGGCACCUGUACUGGAGUUGAAACCUCUACCAGAGCACCUGAAAUAUGCAUAUCUAGGUGAUAAUGAGACACUCCCGGUGAUUAUCUCAUCGGCACUGUCAAAAAUCCAAGAAGAGAAAUUGAUCCGGGUCCUUAGAGAGCAUAAAGAGGCGAUAGGUUGGACAAUUGCAGACAUUAAGGGAAUCAGCUCGGCCGUCUGUAUGCAUCGGAUUAGACUAGAAGAGGAUGCCAAACCUGUUAGGCAGGCUCAAAGAAGGCUCAACCCCCUCAUGAUGGAAGUUGUAAAGAAAGAGAUUCUAAAAUUGCUAGAUGUGGGGAUCAUCUUUGCAAUAUCUGAUAGCUCUUGGGUGAGUCCGGUCCAGGUAGUUCCAAAGAAGGCAGGAGUAACGGUAGAAGCCAACCAAACGGGUGAGCUCGUGCCAGUGCGCAAACCCACUAGAUGGAGGCAAUGUAUAGACUACCGUAGGCUAAACGCCGUCACCAAAAAGGACCAUUUUCCUCUCCCUUUCAUUGAUCAGAUAGUUGAACGUUUAGCUGGUAGAGCUUAUUAUUGCUUUUUGGAUGGAUUUUCAGGAUACUUUUAGAUAGCAAUUGCCCCAGAGGAUCAAGAGAAGACAACCUUCACGUGCCCGUUCGGGACCUUUGCUUAUAGACGAAUGCCAUUUGGGUUAUGCAAUGCACCUGCAACAUUCCAGAGGUGUAUGGUAAGUAUUUUUUCUGAAUAUGUGGAGAAAAUUAUUGAAGUUUUCAUGGACGAUUUCAGUGUGUAUGGUGAUAGUUUUGACACUUGUUUAGAUAACCUGAAAUUGAUCCUGAUAAGGUGUAUAGAGACUAAUCUUGUGCUUAAUUGGGAAAAAUGUCAUUUUAUGGUUGAGCAUGGGAUAGUCCUGGGUCAUAUUGUAUCGUCUAAGGGCAUAGAAGUUGACAGGGCUAAAAUAUACAUUAUCUCUGCAUUACCUUACCCCGCGAGUGUGCGGGAGGUGCGUUCUUUUCUUGGACAUGCAGGUUUUUAUCGAAGGUUCAUCAAGGAUUUUUCAAAAAUUGGAGCCCCGUUGUUCCAACUUCUACAAAAGGAUGUGACCUUCGAAUUCGAUGAUAAGUGUGAGGAAGCUUUCAACAAGUUAAAAGAAUUGUUGACUUCACCCCCAGUUAUCCAGCCCCCUGACUGGAGUCUACCAUUUGAGAUCAUGUGCGAUGCCAGUGAUCAGGCCGUAGGGGCUGUAUUGGGGCAAAGAGUAGGGAAGGCAGCUCACGUCAUCUAUUAUGCAUCCUGGGCAUUGAAUGGAGCCUAGUUGAAUUACUCCACCACUGAGAAGGAACUUCUUGCAGUUAUUUUUGCUUUAGAAAAAUUCAGGUCAUAUUUGCUAGGUGCUAAAGUAAUUGUAUUUUCUGACCAUGCAGCAUUAAGGUACCUAAUGACCAAGAAAGAUGCAAAGCCGAGGCUCAUCAGGUGGAUAUUGCUACUACAGGAAUUUGACCUGGAGAUAAGAGACAAAAAAGGCUCAGAAAAUCUAGUAGCAGACCAUUUAAGUCGCAUACCAAUUGGGGAGGAUAAUGAGCCGUUGAGGGAUGCAUUCCCUGAAGAGCAUUUAUUUUCCUUAAAUUCUCAAUUGCCUUGGUAUGCUGAUUUGGUAAAUUAUCUAGUAACGGGUGAUUUUCCUGCAGGUUGGCCAAAAUCGAAGAAAGAUAAAUUGAAGAGUGACGCCAAGUAUUUCAUCUGAGACGACCCAUACCUAUGGAAAAGAUGUGGCGACCAAAUAAUGAGGAGAUGUGUAAGUGAAGUGGAGUUUCAAUCAAUUUUAGCUUUUUGUCAUACUUUUGCCUGUGGAGGUCAUUUUGGACCUAAGAGAACUGCUCAUAAGAUUUUAGAAAGUGGAUUUUAUUGGCUUUCAUUGUUUAAAGAUGCCUAUGUGUUUUGUAAGUCCUGUGAUCGCUGUCAAAGAGUAGGUAAUAUAUCCCGCAGGGAUCAAAUGCCCCAGGUCCCGUUGAUUUUUGUUGAAAUUUUUUAUGUCUGGGGUAUAGAUUUCAUGGGACCUUUUCCUACUUCAUUUGGUUAUUUAUAUAUUUUGUUGGCAGUUGAUUAUGUGUCUAAAUGGGUGGAGGCUAAGGCCACUCGGACUAAUGAUUCGAGAAUAGUUACAGAUUUUAUCAGGUCUAAUAUUUUUGUACGAUUUGGAAUGCCUAGAACUAUUGUCAGUGAUAGGGGAACGCACUUUUGCAACAAAACCAUAGCUGCGUUGUUUCGCAAGUAUGGUGUACUCCACCGGGUCUCAACGUCAUACCACCCUCAGACCAACGGUCAAGCGGAGGUGUCAAAUCGGGAGAUUAAGUCCAUUUUAGAGAAAAUGGUGCGCCCUGAUAGGAAAGAUUGGAGCCAAAGGUUGGAGGACGCACUCUGGGCCUAUCGGACGGCGUACAAGACUCCUAUAGGGAUGUCACCAUACAGGUUGGUAUUUGGGAAGCCGUGUCACCUUCCAGUGGAGUUCGAGCACAAGGCUUUUUGGGCGAUAAAGCAAUGUAAUAUGAAUCUAGAAGAGGCCGGUGUUCAACGGAAGCUGGAUUUGCAAGAAUUGGAGGAGAUCAGGAACGAAGCAUACGAAAACGCCUUGAUUUAUAAGGAGAAAAGCCGGGCAUUUCAUGACCAACAAAUUUCACGAAGAACAUUUGAAGUUGGUCAGAAGGUCCUCCUAUACCAAUCAAGGCUCAAGCUAUUCCCAGGUAAGCUACGUUCCCGUUGGAUUGGACCUUUUAUUGUAACUCAUGUUUUUCCCUAUGGUGCAGUUGAAAUCCAGAGUGCUAAGACAGACAACAAAUUUGUGGUGAAUGGACACCGUCUCAAGUAUUAUUACGAAGGAUUUUCAGGUGGAGAGGUGGAGACAAUAAGGCUAGACGCACCACCGUGUCCUAAUCAAUGACACUUUACCAUGUCUAGCCAAAGACAUUAAAGAAAGGCGCUAAUUGGGAGGCAACCCAAUUGUUUCUGUCAAUUACUUGUUGGUUUCGGGUCAUAGUUUAAAUCUAUUUUCCCUUUAAUUUGACUGAUUUUGAGUUUCAGUUUUCGUUUUUGCUGAUUUUUAGGUGUCCUUCAGUCUUGACGCGCCCGCGUGGUGAUGUGCAGGACGCUCACGAUCAGGAAAUUCUGAACUUCUGGGAGCUCUCCUGCCCUCAUGACGUGCCCGCGUGGUGAUGUGCAGGACGCUCACGAUCAGGAAAUUCUGAACUUCUGGGAGCUCUCCUGCCCUCAUGACGUGCCCGCGUGGUGAUGUGCAGGACGCUCACGAUCAGAAAAUUCUGAAACUUCUGGGAGCUCUUUUGGCCUCAUGACGUGCCCGCGUCACGUUCGCGGGAAAGGUAAGGAUUCAAAUAAAUAAAAAAAAAUGAAAAAAAAAUUGAAAAAAAAUAUAGAAAAACUAUUAUUAUUAUUUCAGUUAUUCAAAUAAUAAUAAAAAAAAAUUUCCUCUUAACCGUAGCAAUUUCUUUUAUAUAAAAAAAAAAAUUUCCUCUUAACCGUAGCAAUUUCUUUUAUUUAAAAAAAAAAAAAUUUCCUUCUUUUCUUUUCUUUCUUUCUUCUUUCUCUCUUCUUUCUUUCUUUGUUCUCCGCUGCUGUUUCCUCCUGUCGACUUGAUCCAGUCGUCGACCCAUCAACCGCCGCUUCCUCCACCUAGCCACGCCAAGCAGCCGCACGCCGCCGCUGCUGUAGCGCGCAGCCCAGAAGCAGCUCGCGCGCAAACCAGACCCUCCGCCCGCGCGCCUCUGCUGCUCACGCCACCGCCGCCCACUGACGAAUCUUCUCCGCCACCAGAUCUGCGCGGCGGCCGAAGUUUCUCCCACCAUCGCGCGCCCCAAAUCGCGCGCUCCGCCGCUCUUCGACCGCGCACGCGCCACGCCUUCCCCGCGCUGCUGCUCCUGCCGCAGCUCUUCCCUCACGCAACCACAGCCGUACCAGCCACAGCAGACCGCAGCCCCCUCUCACUCCAGCUUCACGACACAGCUAGCUGCUCUAUCUGCAGACUGGCGGGGUACUAGUGGAGGUAUUUGGACUUUAUUCCCCAAUUUUUGAUAUCUAAUUGGUACUGCCUGGGUUGAUAACUAGUUGCUAUUGUCAACGGUUGGAGGUUAUUUCUCGAUUGUGUGAUUUCCUCCAGUAGUACUGGUUGGUCUAUUCUUGCUUGGAACUGCUAUUUCUCUUGGGGUGUGUUAAAUUGUGCAAUUAAUUGGCCAACUGGAGCCAUUUGUUGGGACUUUGGGUGAGCUAAAUUGCUGUGAUUGGUUGUUGACUUUGGGCGACACUUUUUGGGUUUUUAGUUGGGUUAUUUCUGAAAUUUCUUGUUGCUUUGGAGAGACUGGCCGCAUGCUCUACUUGUUGAGAUUGGUAAUAUUCAGUUUAAUUACUUGUUGAAUUGCUGAUUUUGAGGGGUCUUCCUGUAUCGGGCAUUGGGCAUUGCUACUUGCUCAAACUCCUCUUUUUGUUAUUGGUUGGGUCCUUCCUGGGGAAUUAUUGUUGUGAUCUGCUGAGUUUCCUUUGCUAGUUACAUUUGCUGGUUUCUAUACCUGUUGAAGCUUCUUGUUGGUUUGAGUUCACUGUGGGAGGACAUGGUGCGACCGAAGUCAUCCUCUAGGUCUAGGGCCUCUCAGUCUCAACCCCCUCCACAGGCAUCUAUUCCGGUGAAUACACCUACCAACCUACCGUAUUCUUCUAAUGUCCGAACCCGCUUGGGUAGGGGUAGGGUGCUCAGGUAGAUACCCCAGCUCACUUUGGAGGGCACUUGACCUUAACCAGACCUGCGGAUCAGCAGAGGUAUGCCAAAGUCUGUGAGCGGCGUAUCAUACCUUGUAAGACUAGUGACAAAUUAAGCAUGAUGGGCCUAGGCAUACGAGAGGAGGUCGAGCAGAUGUUUACAGCCAUCGGGUGGCGCCCAUAUCUCUAUAUCUUCUGUCCCGCAUUUGUCGAGCUGACUCGGGAGUUUUAUGCUACCUUUGAGUUUGAGUUGCCCUCGAGGUUCACCGUUGCGACACCUAAUGUCAUUCGCUUCCGUCUGAUGGGUCGGGAAUUUAAUUUUUCGAUUACCGAAUUUAAUUUGGCAUUCGGAUUCAUUACUCGAGAGUAUGCGGAGACGAGGGAGUAUAGUGAGAGUGCCUGUAACUAUGUAGAGCCAUUCCUCUCCCGCUACCAUGAUGUAUGGGAGGAAAUAUCCGUCGAUGGGGAGCGCUACGAUCCUUCUCGAUCUAGGAGUUCCUUUCUUAAGGACCCUAGUGCCCGCUAUGUUCAGCGAUUUUUAGCCUGCAGCUACUCAGGGCGCAAGGACAGCUCCGGUAUACUCUCUCGCCCCGAGUUUUUCUUCCUCUGGAGCAUGAAGAACAACAUCAAGGUCAAUUUGGGGUGUUGGUUGGCGGCGCAGUUCAAGACGGUUCUGACCAAGAAGAACAAACCUCUGAUCCUUGGGUCCUUUAUCACUCACUUGGCGACCGAGCUAGGGGUUCUUGACUUGGAGGACCAUGACCUACAUUUGGCAUUCGAGAUAGAGCUCUUGGAUGUGGAUUGCUUAGAGAGGAUGGGAAUCGUCGAGCGCUUGCCCGAUGGUUCCUACCAGUUUACCCCUCCGGGACCACCUCGAGCUCCGGGUGCACGCCCUACGCCCCGACCAGGACCCUCUUCCUUUCAUGAGUCGGCCGAGGACACGGCUGGGCCGUCAUCUUCUGCACCACCUCCACGCCGUGGGACUUCUGAAUGGCAGCAACUCCAGGAGCAGGUUCAGGAUUUGCAGGCCCGAAUGAACAACGUCGACGCCAAUGUCGCAGGCAUAGCACAGAAUUUGGCGCAGUUUCUGAUGCAUACAGGCUUUGCACCUCCAUUCCCACCUCGCCCUCCGCUAUGACCCAAUUUCAGGGAAGUUUGGCUAAUUCCCUCUCACUUUUGCUUCACUUUUGGCUUUUAUUUGUCACAUUGAGGACAAUGUGUCCUAUAGGUGUGGGGGGGGAUCUAAAGUUAUGCAAGUGUGCUCCGUUUUUAGUAGUUUUCAGUUUUCAGCUUUUCAUUUUAGUAGUUUUUAGUGUUUUUAGUUUUAGUAAUUUUAGUUUGUAGUUUUUAGUUUUUUUAAGUUUUUAGCUUUGGGUUUUAGUUUUUAGCCGUUUUUCGUUUUAUUUUCUUUUUGUUCAUUCUCUUUCAAUCUUGAUCUUGUUGGUUAAUGUGAAAAAAAAAGAAAAAAAAAAGAAAAAGAAAAAGAAAAGUGAGUUUUUAGUUUUAGUAGUUUUUCGUAGUUUCAUUUCUAGUUGCUCGUUUUCGUUCUUUCUUCUUGGUGCUUACCCUUCAUGUGAAUGCUAAAAGUUGAGAUGUGGACUUAUUGACUCCAAGUCUACUUUUGCCAAGUUUUUAAAAUACAAAAUGUAUCGGGUUAAUGUGGUUGGAUCCAGAAUAUCUUCCUGGUGAAUAUCGAAUUGCUCGGCUCCUUUGAUUUCUGUGAUUAAUUUCUCUAGGCAUGGGGAAUGACUGUUGGCAUUUUAAUGUGAACUGGUCCAAUAUUGACUCCAGUUCUCUAUGUUUGACAAUAAUGAGGCGAGCUGUUCCUAUUUUUGGUUCUUAGUGUUGUUAGUAUGUGUUUUUGGCUUUGCUUGGCUGUGAAUAAGCUUGACUGUACUCCGCUAUUAAGUUACUACUGAGUAACCGGGGAUCGGCACCUAAAAGUGUCGAUUCUCGCGACAAAAGGUGGUACUUUAUAUGAGUACGUGGUCGUAUAGCGGUAGGAGCUGAGUAACCGGGCUCCUUCAUUUAAAAAUGUUGGAGUUCGCGUCAAAAUGCCCCGACGGCUAACGACUAAGUCUUUUUGUAUUAAUUAUUAUUGUUCUGAAAAAAAAGGAAAAAAAAUGAAAAAAAGAGAGAAUAAAUAAUGGGAAGGCUUGCUGGUUUUUGGACUUAAUAUGGAGACUUGUGUGAAUAUUUGGACCGUUAGCUGAUAAAUGUUGUGCGCCAUUCCCUUUUCUUAGAGUAGUUAACCUGGAAAUUGAAGGAAUUGGCAGUUUAGGGGCUAACCGGGGGGAUGCUUCUUGGAUUCUAAUCACCAAUGCUCGAUAUGUGUUUUUCUCUUGAAUGUCUUGGCAAUAUAGGAGAUUGGGCAAUGGCCAUCGUCGAAUUUUGGUGUUCGUUUACUUUUCUUAUGCUUGAGGACAAGCAUGGUUUAGGUGUGGGGGGAAUUGAUAGGGUGCAAUUUAUUCAUUUAUUUUAUUAUUAAUUCCUCCUAUUACCUGACUUGAUGUGGAUUUAUUUGCUGGAUUCUACUCACUUUUAGUAUUUGACGUUUAUUUCAGGGAGUAGAAUAUAAAUAUGAUAACAGGUGCCAAAUUGGGAAAAAAAAGAAUUCAGAUGAGAAAGCUUGUCCCAGGGGCACUUUUGGAAGAGAAGAUGUCAUGCCCAUUUUGGUAAUUUUCGCAAGGAAAUGACGGACGGAGGGCUUCGCUUCCUGUGGAGGUCCCGCCGCAAUUAAAAGAGGGAAAGGCAGCAACCCUGUGGGAGCUAGCUUGUUCUUGAUUCUCCGUCUGGAGCUUAGCAGCAAUUUUUGACUUUUCCCUUGUAAUUCACUUUUUGGCUUGAGAAGCCUACGGAUGUUAGGAAGAAAAGGCAUUUGUUAGCCUCGGACUUUGACUUUUCCUUUUCCUCUCUUUUGAAUCCUGCGCAUGGCAGGAGCAUUGGAGAAUUGUUUCUUUUGACUUUUUUCUUUAGCUUGAGACGAAGUGAAAACCAUGAACUUUCGUAGCUUUUCUAUUCAUUCGAUAUAUUGAGACGAAUUGGAUUUUGCCAAAUUUCAACGGACAUGGCCGCUAGUUUCUCUGCAAUUUUGUGUGGGUUUAGUUCAUCAAUUAUGAACUAAUUUUUCCACUCUAGUCAAGGAGCAAUGGAUGCUUUGGGUCACCUAAAAUUGUGAGAUCAUUCUAAUUUAAUAUUUUCCUUUUAUUUAUCGGUAUUCGCAUAUUCCUUGAUUGCUAAGCUUAUGGUUAUUUAAUUAAUUACUUGUCUUGGAUCCGGAUAAUUAAUUGAUUGGGUAAUCUAUUGUCAAUUGGGGUAUUAAAUCCGUAAUUGUUUAAUUACCUCAAAAUAGUGACAAUUGGCAUGAUUAGAUUUGUGUCAGGGGAUUACGUGGGCUAAUCUAAAAUAACCCUGGUAGUGCGUUAUUUGGUUAGAAUAGGGCUCCUCUAAUACGUAAGGCAAUUGGGAAAUUAAAUCUUACGGGCGUACCUAAGAUUAUUUCUCAAUUAGAGCAGUGAUUAACGGGCGUACCUUGAUCACCGACACAGUAAGGAGGAGUUGGCUGCCAUCGCUUGUUUGGUAGUUAUAACCUAUUUAUUGGUAAAUAAGUGGGAUUGGCUUUGCAUCAAUGAUCAAUUAGGUGAACCAUUGCUGAAGUUACUUCUUGGCUAGAUCUUUAGUUAAUAUUUUCUUGAUUGUAGUGGAUUGCCAUUUGACUUUUAAUUGCCUACUUUAUUUUAUUUUUGAUUGUUUCCUCGUUUUAAUUAAUUUAGGCCUUUAAUUAUUGUUAUCCUGAGUUCAGAAAAUUGUGGUUUAAUUUCUAGUUAGUUGUUUAUUUUUACUUUCCCAUUUGAAUUUAUUUAAUUAUCGUCGUUCCUACAAAAUCACCCCCUGUGUCACUUUGGAUUUCUUAAGAAACGAAUAUACCCAGUCUCUGUGGAUACGACCCUACUUACCCUGUCUACAAAUUCAUAAUCACUUGUGAAAAGGAAUAACCAUUCCAUUCGGGUAUAUCGGAUCAAGCAAACUUUUCGGGAAUAGGGUGAAUCAAGUAACCCAUUGCACACCUAGAGUCCCUGCUCCAGUACUUGGAAUUGGGUUUUGGUCAUUUUAACUGGCAAUUAGGUUUAAUUUUAUUAUUGCACAGGCUGACGACCUGUCAACCACAAUUUAAAGGAUACAGGUGGCCCUCAGGAGCCAAAUCCCCGUUGCAAUACUUGAUCCAGCUUCGUUGACUCUCCGUCAAUGUUGAAUAACACACUCAUGUCGGUAGACCCCUCUUACGCCAAAAUCCCGUUCACCAAACAUACCCCUUAUCGGGCCCGAACGCCGAACAGGAACAGUAGUGGUACUACUCGAGUAUACCGGAAUCAAGAGUCUCAAUACCCAAAGAUUAUCCAGGAACAGGUACCCAUGGAUUGUCAAUUAUCUUGACCAAGCACCUGCUGGCUCGAUUUAAUUAACUCCGCAUGAGGUUGAGCUCAAGUUUAACAGAAAGAUCAUUGGACACACUUCCAAACGAUCUCAUAAUAAGUGCAAGUAGCAAGUUCAAGUACAUAACAAGUACAAGUAAUAGAUUCCAGUUCAUUCAGUACAGGCAAGAGAACGAGUGUGAUAAAGUACACCCUCGUCUCAUUCAGAAUAACAGAGUUUCAUAGUUAUCCAUGUCACACAUUUCAAGUAUAGAUGAACCAAUUAAACAACAAUUCAAGGGAGUGAUACACUCACCUAUUAAGGCGAAAUAACGUCCAGAAUAUCUUUCCGAGUAACACUCUCAAUCACCGAUGAACCCUAAGGUUAAUCAAGAGAAAAUAUUACAGUUCCUCUAGCAAAAGUUAGGUGAAUCGAAAACAAUUCAAAUACUACUAGUACAAAGUAUAAAUAUGAUUUUGGAAGUGAAAAGAGUACAUUUAAACCAAAGGACAUGAGUAAAAUAUUUGGAAAACUUAUGCUCGCUCGUAAAACUUUGAAAUAUCCAUUUGAGUUGAAGAAAUGAAGAAAAUGUAUUUCUAUUAAUUGUAAAUUUCAUUUUUUCCAAGUGUACAAGUUUUAGCCAGGCUUGAACUUAUAUACCUCGAUAAAAGAAGAUGCAAAUAUCCUAGAUGGUUUAUAUGGUAUUCGCUCUCAAAUCGUUGCCUAAUCCUCGAGCGUAAAUUUGGGCAGCACACAUUUUAUAUUUACCUAUGUUCCAGCCACUUAUGGCUUCAUUAUUUUCCUCAAUCAACUCCAAAGUCAUACACAAUAUAAAUUCAUCACAACAGCCAUUCAAUAGGCUCAAAGUCAUUCAAGUACAAGAUUUAACUAGGAAAAUGACCGGAAAUGAGCUUUAAGCUAAGAAACCAAAAAGGCAGAUUCACCACUACUUAGCGUAUCGGACAUAACCGAAACUACGCUUAUUGGAUUGAAGUCCAAGUUAUACCGUUUCGAAGCUAAGACAGAGGGUUAUAACUUUGAUGAAGACUACUUAGUCCAAUUCUCACCCUAACUAGGUCAAGUUUACCAAAAUAACCCCAGAUUUUCCAGUUCGAAGCUCAUUGCGAAAUUCAACUAGCAGUUCUGAUUCAUUCAAUCAUAUCUCAACACACCCAACUCCGAUUCAGGUAAUUCCAAAGCCAUUUGAAAGUAAGAUACAAGGCUAUAAUUCUUAAGGAGAUUUCGACAAUCAAUUCGGUAAUAUUCCUGGUCAAACUAACCACUUACAGAGGCUGAUUAUCAUUUUUGACAGAUACAUGGCAGCAGGGGUAAUUUUGUCAUUUCACAAGAUACCCUACUCCGAUUGAGCUGAAAUUUUGUAGGAAGCUAGUUAACAUCAUUUUCUACAACUUUCAUGUUUUAAGCUAAGGCUGAUUCGGCUUCUAACAUGCUCAAAUAAAGACAGACAGAACAGGGAAAAUUAGAACCCUAAAGCUGAAAUUUCCGUACAAAACUGAAAUUUUCCGCAAACAAUCGUAACUAACAUAUACAAGCUCCAUUUUACACCAUAACAAGCUAUCAUACCAUGAUUAAACCAUAAUCAUCCCAUAAAAUCAGAAAAAUCUCCAUUAGAUCAGAAAUUCAACAAACACUAGUUCAACCCAUGAAGUCUUCCACAAAUUAACAUGUUAGACCACUAGAAACCACUAAUCUUUCCUUAUUAAGAACAAAAAGGAGAUUUCUUAGCAACUUACCUUUACAACUCAAGAAAGAUGGCAACUUAGCACCUCCACUUCUAAAACCACUCCACCACCUUCUUCAAUCCUAUCUAGCAAUAGGUUUUUAUGGAGGAAUUUGAAGUUUAAAUGGUUGGAUCAAGAGAUUAAACAAGAGAAUAGAAGGUAAAAGUUGAGGAAUUUUCUCUCUUUUCUCUCUAUGUUGUUCGGCCAAGAGAAAGAAAAAUGAAGAUGAAAUUGGUCAAAAUUCAUGUUUAGUAAAUGUGAAAGAAAGUAGUCAAAGUCCACCCUCCAAUCAAAACGCGGCACCUAGCACCUUUUAGGUUUAACACUUAUCCUUUUGUCUCUCCUAACAAAUUAAUCUAGCUAACCUCUAGUUAUCUCCUAGCACCUAGUCAAUUAAUCCCUUAAUGCAAAACUGAAUCUAAUUGGUCGAAUUAACCGCACUUAACGCACUAGCGGGUCCCACGUCCACUAUACACUUCAAAUAUCUCAUGAACUAACUUAUACUAGAAAAAUAAUUUAAAAACUGUAUUUACUUAUAAAAAUAUCUCUAAAGUUAACAUAAUAACAAAAAUGUAGAAAACGGGUACAACGAAAGAAAAUAAGGCCUAGAAAUUCAGAAAAUUUUCGAGUUCUCACACUCUCUCCCCCUUAAAAGAAUUUCGUCCUCGAAAUUUUUUAUCAUCGCCUUCUUCGGGAUACAAAACUUUUAUUACUUCCUUCUCACAAUCAAAUUGAGCACCGUACUUAGUUAACCAAUCAGUAUCCCUUCACUAGCCAAGCUCAUUGAAUUUUUCGUAUAGUUUUUUCUUCCUUCUCAAAGUGAAAUUCUUAUACACCAUUCUAGUGGUCGUACGGUGGAAUACCAGAAUCUUACCUUCCACGUCUUCAAACGAGUCAGGGGCUUGAUGUUGCUAUAGGGCAUACGCCCGAGCCGACACCUUUUGUCCAUCCUUCUUCCCCUUCGACUGGUCAGGGUUGGUCGUGGUUGGUUGUUGGUUCCUACUCCCUUCUCGAGAUCGGCCUGCGCAGUUUGCAAUUUGAUGAUCUGCGCUCCCACAACGCAAACAUUUUCUUCCUUUCUUCCAACAGACUCCUCCGUGUGAUUCGGCUUCCCACAGUAACCGCAGGGACCACGGGAAGUGGAGACUGAGCCUCUCUGUGAGGCACCACUUGACAUCCCUGGUAGUUGUACUCCCCCGUUGCCCCUUCCAAUCUUAGGAGGCGUACCCUUAUCCCCUUGCUCUGAGCUACUUCCAAGAAAUCCUCUUUUCUUAGUUUGGAAGUUUCUAACUUGUAACCUCGCGCUUUCAACUCGUUGAACUUUCUCCACCGCAUCACUAAAGGCAUUGAGUUGGGCUAUCGCCAAGUCCUUCUGAAUCUCAACAUUUAAUCUCUGGACAAAACGCCUUAUCCUCCAUUGUUCGGUCACAAUUAGUUCGGGAACGAACUUAGACAACCUGGUGAACUGGCUCUCACAUUCGGUGACACUUUGAGUUCCCUGCCGAAGCCUAAUGAAUUCAUCUUCUUUCUUUUCCUAGAUCAGAGGUGGGAAAUACUUCGUGUUGAACUCUCUCAUAAAAUUCACCCACGUCCUUGGGGUUUGUUCUCUUUCCUAUUUCAGUCUUAUGAUAUUCCAUCAAGAACAGGCUGCUCCCUCCAGUUGAAAGACGGCAAAUAUUACCUGUCGCUCCUCAGUAUAAUGUAGCGUGGCAAAAAUAUCAAUCAUCUUCUCUAGCCACCUCUCGGCCACAUCAGGGUUGGGUCCUCCAAGAAAUUCGGUGGUGAGAACUUUUGAAAUCGUUCAAGAGCUUUAUCCUCACCCUCGGUAUGAUUACCAGGAUUUCCCGGCUGAGUAAUAGGAUUUUGGCCUUACUGUUCCACUACGUGAGCCAAAAGGUCGGUCGUUCAGGGUUGGAUUCAGGCAUUGGUUCCCGAUUUCCCCCUUCAUUCAAGGGUUGCCUACAUCCACAGCCCCGGCCUCGUCCAUUACGAGUUCCUUCCAUUGGAUUAACUAAUCUAGGCUCAAGGUGCGAAUACAAUAUACAACUAACGAGGUCAGUCAGUCAGAUAUAUAUAAUACAUCCGAAUCAAUUCAAAAGCAAAUAUACAUAUAACACGACUAUAUCAAACAAAUCACACAGUAACAGUCAGUCAAAUACAAGCAAAGGAAAUUCUAGGGAAGUAAGGGGGUCAUUCAAUAGUACACACUAUGAACUAAACCAGGAGUACAAAAGCAACUAACGAAAAGCUCCCCCCCUAGGGUUCUAUCCGUAAUCUACAAAAAAUCGCAAUUUAUCUCUUAAGCAGGGUUAAUCAUCCACACAUCAUAUAAAGUUCCGUAGAAUCAGAUGUCUAAUUCGCCAAGUCAUUCUAACCUAGGCUUCCAUCCCAUUUCGUAUUCGGGUACAAGAAUCCAAAAUAAGAGAAUUUACCACUCGAGCUGGCCAGUCCCAAGAGUAAAUCAUCUACAUUUGAAAUUCCUACCCGACAUAUGUAUUCAUAGUCUCUAAGUACCAAAAUAAUGUUUUAAAACCUAUAAUACACUGUGAUCCAUAGCUUAUGCUCAAAAGAGCACUUAGUCCCUUACACUCAUUCACAUGAUCGAGACCACAACACCACUUGGCCCCAAGCUCACUCCGGGUAGAGACCACGCGAAGCGGUUCUGAUAUCACCUGUGAUAGCCCCACCUUCCCCUAAGGUGUACCAAAGAGGUUAGCGGACUGCCUGCCUAACUCUCGCUAGGACUACUAAGGCGGUUAUACACAACUCAAAACGUGUCGGAAUACAGUAGCGCGCGUAAACAAAGCAAAAAUCACGAAAUAGAAAAAGAAAAUCGAAAUAGAAAGUGAAUAGUGCCUGCCACGUCACCAUCCGACCGGGACCCAAUCGAAUACAAGUGACUUCAUAUAAUCCUUGAAAUGGACAUAUAUAAACCAAACAUAACACAUGAACAUGAGUACAUGCUUUUAUCAACCACAUUCAUAUUUUUAUAAAUCAAAAGGGAACAUUUGAAUCCAAGUACAAUUAGGAUUUCCAACCAUUGAGGAGCUAUACAAAAUAUCUAAACUAGCUCAACUCAUGCUUCAAAAUCACAGUUCCAAAAGUGGUUCCUUGUAAGGAAAACAAGGAUAACGGAACGGGGUGAGUUAGAAGCUCAAUGAGGUACCAAAAGCAUAACGGUGAAAAUCAUGAGAAAACACUUUUAGGGCACACAUACACAUCAAGUAAGAGAAAUAAACGAACACCACAAUUUAAAAGAUACAGGUGGCCCUCAGGAGCCAAAUCCCCGUUGCAAUACUUGAUCCAACUUUGUUGACUCUCCGUCAAUGUUUAAUAACACACUCAUGUCCGUUGACCUCUCUUACGCCAAAAUCCCGUUCACCAAACAUACCCCUUACCGGGUCCGAACGCCGAACGGGAACAGUAAUGGUAAUACUCGAGUAUAGCGAAAUCAAGAGUUUCAAUACCCAAAGAUUCUCCAGGAACAGGUACCCAUGGAUUGUCAAUUACCUCAACCAAGCCCUUGCUGGCUUGAUUUAAUUAACUCCCCAUGAGGUUGAGCUCAAGUUUAACAGGAAGAUCGUUGGACACACUUCCAAAAGAUUUCAUAACAAGUGCAAGUAGCAAGUUCAAGUACAUAACAAGUACAAGUAAUAGAUUCCAGUUCAUUCAGUACAGGCAAGAGAACGAGUGCAAUAAAGUACACCCUCGUCUCAUUCAGAAUAACAGAGUUUCAUAGUUAUCCAUGUCACACAUUUCAAGUAUAGAUGAACCAAUUAAACAACAAUUCAAGGGAGUGAUACACUCACCUAUUAAAGCGAAAUAACGUCCAGAAUAUCUUUCCGGGUAACACUCUCAAUCACCGAUGAAUCCUAAGGUUAAUCAAGAGAAAAUAUUACAGUUCCUUCAGCAAAAGUUAGGUGAAUUGAAAACAAUUCAAAUACUACUAGUACAAAGUAUAAAAAUGAUUUUGGAAGUGAAAAGAGUACAUUUAAACCAAAGGACAUGAGUAAAAUAUUUGAAAAACUUAUUCUCGCUCAUAAAACUUUGAAAUAUCCAUUUGAGUCGAAGAAAUGAAGAAAAUGUAUUUCUAUUAGUCGUAAAUUUCAUUUUUUCCAAGUGUACAAGUUUCAGCCAGACUUGAACUUAUAUACCUCGAUAAAAAAAGACGCAAAUAUUCUAGAUGGUUCAUAUGGUAUUUGCUCUCAAAUCGUUACCUAAUUCUCGAGCGUAAAUUUGGGCAGCACGUCCUUUGUAUUUACCUAUUUUCCAGCCACUUAUGGCUUCAUUAUUUUCCUCAAUCAACUCCAAAGUCAUACACAAUAUAAAUUCAUCACAACAGCCAUUCAAUAGGCUCAAAGUCAUUCAAGUACAAGAUUUAGCUAGGAAAAUGACCGGAAAUGAGCUUUAAGCUAAGAAACCAAAAAGGCAGAUUCACCGCUACUUAGCGUAUCGGACAUAACUGAAACUACGCUUAUUGGAUUGAAGUGCAAGUUAUACCGUUUCGAAGUUAAGACAGAGGGCUAUAACUUUGAUGAAAACUACUUAAUCCAGUUCUCACCCUAACUAGGUCAAGUUUACCAAAACAACCCCAGAUUUUCCAGUUCAAAGCUCACUAUGAAAUUCAACUAGCAGUCCUGAUUCAUUCAAUCAUAUCUCAACACACCCAACUGUAAUUCAGGUAAUUCCAAAGCCAUUUGAAAGCUAAGAUAGAAGACUAUAAUUCUUAAGAAGAUGUCGACAACCAAUUCGGUAAUAUUCCUGGUCAAACUAACCACUUACAGAGGCUGAUUAUCAUUUUUGACAGAAACAGGGCAGCAGGGGCAAUUUUGUCAUGUCACAAGAUACCUGCUCCGAUUGAGCUGAAAUUCUGCAGGCAGCUAGUUAACAUCAUUUUCUACAACUUUCAUGUUUUAAGCUAAGAUUGAUUCAGCUUCUAGCAUGCUCAAAUAAAGCCAGACAGAACAGGAAAAAAUUGGAACCCUAAAGCUGAAAUUUCUGCAUAAAACUGAAAUUUUCAGCAAACAAUCGUAACUAACAUAUACAAGCUCCAUUUUACACCAUAACAAGCUAUCAUACCAUAAUUAAACCAUAAUCAUCCCAUAAAAUCAGAAAAAUCUCCAUUAAAUCAGAAAUUCAACAAACACUAGUUCAACCCAUGAAGUCUUCCACAAAUUAACAUGUUAGGCCACUAGAAACCACUAAUCUUUCCUUAUUAAGAACAAAAAGGAGAUUUCUUAGCAACUUACCUUUACAACUCAAGAAAGAUGGCAACUUAGCACCUCCACUUCUAAAACCACUCCACCACCUUCUUCAAUCCUACCUAGCAAUAGGUUUUUAUGGAGGAAUUUGAAGUUUAAAUGGUUGGAUCAAGAGAUUAAACAAGAGAAUAGAAGGUAAAAGUUGAGGAAUUUUCUCUCUUUUCUCUCUAUGUUGUUCGGCCAAGAGAAAGAAAAAUGAAGAUGAAAUUGGUCAAAAUUCAUGUUUAGUAAGGUGAAAGAAAGUAGUCAAAGUCCACCCUCCAAUCAAAACGCGCCACCUAGCACCUUUUAGGUUUAACACUUAUCCUUUUGUCUCUCCUAACAAAUUAAUCUAGCUAACCUCCAAUUAUCUCCUAACACCUAGUCAAUUAAUCCCUUAAUGCAAAAUUGAACCUAAUUGGCCAAAUUAACUACACUUAACGCACUAGCGGGUCCCACAUCCACUAUACACUUCAAAUAUCUCAUUAACUAACUUAUACUAGAAAAUAAUUUAAAAACUGUAUUUACUUGUAAAAAUAUCUCUAAAGUUAACAUAAUAACAAAAAUGUAGAAAACGGAUACAAAGAAAGAAAAUAAGGCCUAGAAAUUCAGAAAAUUUUCGGGUUCUCACGGGAUCAUCAAAGUUUCUUUCUUCUCCCCUCCUCGGUUGCAGCAAAUGCUUUUUCCAGUAAAACAGUGGCUUAUCUUUUGGCAUUUUCUCGCCUUUACUUCCUCAGUUUCUGGUCUCAAUCACUUAUGCAGAGGACACUCAAUCUACUGCAGGUUAUCCUAAGCUAAGCAGAGUCGUUCAUGACCAAAAUUCAGAGGAAAGCUGGGCUAAAUCCCGUGCCUGAGCUUAGCAGCAAAACCUGAUGCAUGGCAGCAUGCAUCAGACUCCAUCGAAUUCAGUUUUACGUCCCAACUGAACGUAUAGAGGCUAAUGACUUAGCUAAAAAUUAUCCUAAAGAAAGGAUGACAGUUUAUGAUCAGAAUUCACGAGAAUACUGAAGAAAUAUCUGUUGCAAGCACUUCUUAAUGUUAUCAUCCCAAGAAAAAUUUGAUAACAGUUGCAGGUUCAGGCUUUAAUCUCAGUUUUCUGCAAUUUCCCUUUUCCUGCAAUUUUACAGUUGCUACCCGACAUUUACUUCAGCCACAAGCUCAAAUUCCCAGCUAAAUUCGACAUGCAGCUGGUGUUUAUCCAAUUAUACCAACUAAAGAGCGAGUUGUUAUAAAAUCUUACCUGUUCCCCUUAAAAUUCGAUGUUGCAGGCUGCUCAAGUUUCGGUUUCAGCUCCUCAAUUCCUAGCACUCGAUUCUCCCGUUCCUUGCAGUCCCUUCCUCAGCUCUGGCUAAUUGAUUAUGAUGCUUACCUAAGUUGUAACUGGUUUCUCUUAACCUUGCUCUCUCUCUUUUCACUCACUCGAGUCUGUUUUUGAAAGAAAGUAAGAAAGGACGACAGCUUUGGUUUUGUCUCAGCCACCGCCAAUUUUUGUUUCUUUACGCUGUUCUCAUUCGGUUAUUGCUUAUUCAGCAAUUUGGUGAUGCAUUCCCUCCUGACAGCUGUCUCAAUUCACCACCCAACCUCAGUUAGAUCCUAACCUCCCACCGCUUGGAUUUAGCAGAUAAUUGCCUAGCUUCCAUUCGGUUCCAUUUGUUUUUGUGAAAUUCUGAUAGCUCAAGUGAUGGCCGCAUGGUAAUUAGUCUAGAAUUUUAAGUUUAGUUUGGUCUUUUGGUUGUAGUUUAAUUACUCUCUAAGUCCUGAAAUUUUUAUAAUUUUAUGCAUGAACUCCUAACUUCAUUUGUAUUUUCGUGGGAAAUUUCUUACAUUGAUUUUUAACACAUGUAGCUUUAAGAAAAACUUAUUAGACAUGUACUUGUUACACUUUUAGUAUAGGUUACGUGUCUAAUAAUAUUUGCAAUUAACACAAUUUACGAUAUGCAUGUCAUAUAUUUAUUUAAUUCGUAAAAUUUUCUACACUUCUAGACAUGUACUUAUUGAAUUUAUUUUCAAAAUUCUCAAUUUAUAGGGAUUCAAUAAGACAUUUAAGGUAACCGUUUAUUCGUUAUAUAUAAUUUUUCUCAUAUCAAAGUAAAUAAAAUAAAAUAAUUUUAGGGUAUACACAUAAUUUUCUCGGGUUCUCACAUCCUUCCCCCCUUAAAGAAAUUUCACCAUCGAAAUUCGUACCUUCCAUUAUAAAGAGUUCCAGGUAUUCUUUUCGCAUCUUAUCUUCUAGUUCCUAGGUUGCUUCCUGUAUCUCUUAAAUGCAACCCGUGUAUAAUUCGUAAUGGAUAAUUUUACCUCCCGUUCCCUAUGUUGAUUUACAAACCCAACCACUUGAUCCUGUCGGGGUGCUAUACACUCUAAAAGGCCAGUCAUCCGAUUUAAAGCAGUAGCUACUAGAUCACUUAUAUGGGUUCCUUGUUCCUAGUUUUGGUUAAUUGCAGAUUCCUGCUCUUCCCCUUGCUCUUGGGUUUGCCUAGGUUUAUGGCUUCGUCGUCGUGGUCCAACUUCUAUAUCUCACUACCAAUUUAUAUACAUAAUUGACAAUUAACUACAUAUACUUAGGUUAACAAGCAAUCUCAAUCCAAAAGCUAGCAAAUUCAUCAAAGCAAUCCAAAAGCUACAUAUACAUAUCCAUCGGUCAAGUUAAUUUGGGAUUUUUUUUUUCCAUGGAGUGAUUUAGACGAAGUUGAAAGAUGAAUCAAAUUACUCAAUACUCGAAUCGAAAUCUGAUUGGUAAAAAUUCGUUCGAUCUUAGUUUCCCAAUUCUCAAUUAAUCAAGCCAAAUUUGAACAGCAUUUUAUGUUCUAUAACAGUCAAAUUUGAUAUAAAACUUGUUCAAACUCGAUUUGACAAAUAAACAAACCAAACUUUAAAGAUAAUAGCCAAUAUAAUUUUGGAAUGAUAAUGGACUCUAAUUAAAAUCCACCCAUCAAGUUAAUCUGGGAUGUUUCUUUCCAUGGAGUGAUUUAGGAACUCUAGGAUCCAACCGCAAACGCGAUAUCAAACUUUGAGAGACAAACUUCACUAAACGCAACCAAUAAUUGAAUAAAAAAACAAAUGCUUUGGAUAUAUUUAAGAAAACUUAAUAAUUAGGAUUUCCAGUCACAGAGCUGCAACUAUUUACGCCAUAACGUUAGUGUCUUUCCCUUAUAUAUGAUAUAUUUAUUUCAUCAUUGCUUUCAGCAUCUAUUUCAUCUUUGUUUCCUACUUUUCUUUCAAAAUAUUUUACCAUACAAAAAUUUCUUUAUUCAUACUACAAAAUCCAUCCUAACUUGAAAAAAUAUUUGAAUUAGGGUUCACACUUUGCGAAAACCUAAUAAGCAAAAGAUAGUGUAUGAUCGAAAUAACGUAGAAGGAGAAAAGAUUAAAAAAAAUCAAAUCUGUCUUCCAAUUAAUUUUGCAGCAAAUCAAUGGGGAACCACCAAUUUCAGCACAAAAUAUAAUGAUAAACAGAGGGAGAACAGAAGAUGAAGUACUUUUUAUGAUGAUUUUGUUACAAACUAAAUAUUUGUUAAUUAAAUAUUUUGAUAAUCAAUACAGGCUUCAAUAAGCUACUCAUUUCUAGCAAUGAAAUGGCACAAUAUGGUAAGCCAUCAAUAUAAACUCAGUUUAUACUGAAAGUAUAUAGAAGAUUUACUCUUUUAGCUCAUUGCAUUUGGUGUCAUUUGCUCCGUAAAAGAGUUAAAGUGCUUUAGUGUGAACAUGUAUGCAAUUGAAGCAGUCAAAGUAGUUCUACACUUCUCAUAAUGGCUCCAACCCUCACCUCCAAUGUGUUUUCCUUUUUCAAUACUUUUUGUGCUUUUUAUAUGUCUCUAUGGCACCCAAUUUAAAAAAAAAAAAAAACCAAGCACAUAUUUUAAUACUACCAAAAAGAAGGGGAAAAAUGCUUGGGUAGAAAUAGUUUGUCGACUCAUUUGUAGACCAUAUUGGUAUUCAAGAAUAAUUACUUUUGACAUACGAUGACAUACAAAAAGUGGUAGUUAUCAUGUAUGAUGAUGCAGGAAAAUUAAUGUAUCUCUUAAAAAUGUAUAUGAUUCACAAGUAAACUCAUAUACCAAGAACCUACUAAAGUGUUUUUCAAAGAGAAAAAAAAUGAAGAAAUAAGUGUCCUGCCAAUAUAGGACCUAACACUCUACCGACACAACCCCCCCAAAAAAAAAAGGAGAGAUUGAAACUUGAUUUGCCGAUAUGUCCAAAAUUGUUUCCCUCAUUUAUGCUUGUGUGAGGAACCAAAAAACAUUUAUAACAAAGAAUGCUGAUUGAAAAGGAACUAACAAAUAAGAUAUGGAUCACUUUGACAUUCAAUCAGUAGCAACCAUGUCAACUUGUUGCAUAAUGCGCGCAGUUUUUUGACUUCCAAUCCAUUGUAUUUUGCUUCUUUUGCUCAUGACCCUACACACGUGGUACAUUGAACAAAUCUGACUUGCUUAAUCUAGCAAGUGGUGCCUGUCCAUAUGCAUCAAAGUCUACUACUUGACCUGUACCACUGAGCACAACUCAUUGAGUUCAUAUUAUUGAUUGAUAAAGUUGAUCUCAGAAAAAUAUUAAAAAUAAAUCAUUAAUUUAGGGAUCGAGACCUCAUAAGUUGAAUUUCUAUCUAGUUUAUGUAGUUCAAACUGACUAUUAUAAUUCUUAUAAUAUUUAUUGUAAACUCACGUAGUUUAGAUGUAAACUUGAAUCUAUCAACUUAUAAGUAAAUUCUUGAAUUAUGAUGAAAAAAAAAAAGAGUUUCUACAAGUAAAGCUAUUGGUGGAGGCGAAUCUAAAAUGAGGUUGUUCGCAUUUGUUGAAUGCGAACUUAACGAGCUAGGAUAUAUAUAUAUAUUUUAAAAGAAAGUACCUCGUAUUUCUCAGUCUCUUUCACCUAAACCCAAAAAUAGAGCUCCGUUCUUUACGUCAAACAUUCGGCAUUCAAAUCCAUAAGCAGAGGGGCAGAAAUUGGAACGAAACUUUGCACAUCCAGCUCACUCUCUCGUCUUUUGCGUAGCUAGACACCAGUCCAAGCUUCCAAGAGGAAAUUGCCCAAAAUCCCUCAAUCUCUUUCUUUCUCGUCGGUUGUUGUCCGCCAUUGUUGAGCUUCCACCAGACGCCAUUUGCACGCCAACCAGCUGCCAUUUCUGCCUCAGCAGUCAUCCCCAACCAAAUUUGUGACCCUUUGCGCUGCACAUUUUCUUUUCCCUUCGCAAAUGGCUUUCAAAUUCGUGGCUGUGCUCUGUAGCUCACAAACAGCAUAAAAGGUAUGAACUUUUGUUGCAAAGCCUGAUUUUUAUGCGUUUUAUAUUUAUUUAAUACUUUAAUCCGAUGUAAAGUUCAGAUUUGAUGUCAAAUUUGGAUGUAAAUAUCAUGUGGGUUGUGCUGCUUUUUCCAUUUUUUUCUGUCGAGUCUGAGGAAAUAUCUUCAGGGAGGGGAAAUCCUUGGGUCAAAUGACCCACUGCACCGCAGAGCCAGAGUAAACGUAAAUGCAGAAAGAAAACGACAGAGACAGAUGUAGAUAAAAUUAGUGGUAUUUGCAUAUAACUUCACAGCUAGUCCUGCUUCAUUUUCUUUUGAGUUACCGAUAACUUUGACUUGGUUCUAGUGUUCAUGUGACCAGCCAUUUGGCAUUUUUGCAUGAUACCAGUAAGUUGGAUUUCGUGAUUAGCAUCCACGGUAUUGGCAUUGCUAUUUAUAACUUGGCAAUUUUGAAAGUUUACUAGCUGGCUGCUUAAUAUACGGUUAAUGCUUAAAAUAUGCUGAAUCAAUUAGGAUUCUCUUAGUGAAUAGUCUGUUUGUGGCAUUCUAGUGGCUAAGUUAAGUUGUCCAUCUUUUAGUUUUGUUGUAAUGCUGUUUCUUCAGUACCUUGAUGGGUUGUAAUGCUACCAGACCAGUAAGGUUUCAGGUUCUAGUUCAUGCUUUUGUAACCCCCCCAAAAAAAAAAAAACUGCUAUUAGCUACUUACUAUUAAACGAUGCAAUUUGUUUUACCUUUUUAAGUAGUGGUAUGUAUUAGCUACUUGUUUUGAAGUUUUGCUUCUUAUUGAGAAACUAUGUAUAGUUUUGAGAUGCAGGAAAAACCUGUAGGUCCUUGCACCAUAUAUCUAGUCUUACAAUUCUGAGUUAUCACUGUUAACAAUUCUAGAUCAUCAACAUUUGCAUAAUGAGGCUCGCUUAGGUAAUACACCUAAAUAACUGUUUUUGCAUGGCUAGAAACCUUGAGGUACCCAGUCCAUUUGCUAUUCAAGACACACUGCUGGCACAGUGGUCUUUCUUUCUGCAACAUUCAACCUUCUUCCAUCUUAAAUCUGAUCAUUGAGUAUAGUCAGUAAGGUCCAUCCUAAUAUGAUUGGAUUUUGAAGAAUCUAAAUAUUUUGUACUUGCAUGUAGGCUUAUGAAUGCAUGGAAGUUUUGAUCCCAAUCUUAGUUAAUUGUGAGGGCAACUGUGAAUUUUUCUUGGUUGAGGAACUAGAAUGAAUAUACCCAUUCCGGACUGUACAACUCCUCUGUUUUUAUUUUUAUAUUUUAAAUCUGUUCAUACAAUCAACCAUGGAAAAAAUUGCAAGCUCGGUAGAAGCAAGAGUUGGGGAUUGGGGCAUACAACCUGUAUAAGGGUCACUUUUUUGAAGAAAUUCUAAUGCCAUGAAGUUUGAGUUUGACAAUGGCAUAUUAGUUUCUAAAAAGCAAAAGAAACAAUGGCAUAAUUUCUAGUUCUUGACGAUGGCAUAUGGUGAAUAUUCUAGAAACCAACUUAACCUCUAGGACUUCUUAGCAUAUGGAGAAUAUGCUAGAAACGAACUUAACCUCUUGGACUUCUUAGCAUUCUAUUCAUUUUCAGUCUCACUUGCGUAGUUAGCCUUUUAGUUCUGCCACCUAGUUAAAUUAUUGCAGAAUGCCUUGCUUUAUGUUACCUUAGCAACAGGGGUUAAAAUGAUCUUGGUACAUCAUGGACGCCAGUCCAAUCCAAAAUUCUUGAACCAAAUUGAAGAGUUUAUUUCUUAUAGCUGUCAUGAAUUUUCUGGUGUUUGAAGCAAGUGAUUGUAAAUUGUAUGCUUAAAGUGUUUGAUUUUUCCUUAUAAUGGAAUUUAUGGUUGGAUAAGCAUCUAGAAACAUAUUAACUUGAUCAGAAAAUUCACAAGGCUUGUAGGUGGAAGUUUAUGUUGGUUUUUGAGAUAAUUGAGCUGAUCACUUCCUGUACAUAUCUCAGGAAAUUGAUCAAGGUUGUGUUGUUUUGUGUACAUCAAUGUUUGAACAGAACUUAUAACAGGUUCCAUAUACAGCUUGACUCGCUUUGGUUAACACUCUGCUUAGCAAGUUGGUCAUAUCCAUAUUGUUGGAGAUGGAGGAGCUACGGCAACUCUCCCAAGCAUUUAUAUCAACUAGUAAUAGUUCACGUGCUUUGCACGUGAUUGUAAUAUUUUAAAAUAUAUUAUUUUUCAGAUACUAAAAAUUUUUUAUGAAAUUUUGAUCAUCAACAUCAUAAUAUAGUAUUUUUAUGUUAUUUAUUUUUUUAAGCUAGUUACUUUUAAAAAUUUUAUUAAAUGAAAAGAGACAGAAAACAUUCCAAUGUAGUUGGCAUAUCCCUUAAGAUUGAAUUUGAAAUCAUGAAUGAAACACUUUUUGAUUUAUAGCUUGAAUUCUAACAUAUCAAAUAUUGAUAAUAUCAUGUUUUACCAAAAGUAUUGUAUAUACAUGACUCUAUUGCAUAUAAACCACAAUCAUCAAAAUUUUUUAUAAACGAAGAAUAUAAUUAAGUUAGAAAAAUAAACAUACAUGUAAUUUGAAUUCUUUGUAUUAUGUUAAUUCUAUUUUUGUCAAUAAUGGAGUAUAAAUGAUCCACCACGUAAAGUUUUUUUGGCUUGUACAUUCUAACAAUUGAAAUUUUAUAGAUAGAGAUAGUUGGAGUUUUUCUAUUUUCCUUUUCUUUUAUUCAUGUUUUUAGCACAAUCCAAUGCGAAGUUAGUGAUAUUUUUAACAUUUCAAGAAUUUUAAGUGAUAUUAGACAAACCCUCAAGGGAGGUUUCCAAGAAUGAAUUUCUUUUUUUUUUCUGAGUUUCUUUUUUUUCUGGGAUUUUUUGUUUUCUGAAUUGAAAUGGUUUUUCUGAUUGGCAAUUUAUUGAGCGUUCUUGUUCUUUCGUUUUGUCUCUUAUUUGCUUGCCAUGCCUAGUCUUCAAUGAUGGUGUCAUUUGUUGAUGCAUUUGGUCUCGUGUUUGAGUUGUAAAUUCGUGUGAUUAGAUAGAUAUUUUUUGGAGCGAUAUUUAAGCAAGAAAGUGUAAAUUCCUGUGAUUUUAUGGAUGUAUACAAGGCGUUUGUGAAAAUUCCUGAACAGAAGUUGCUAACUUCUGCAAUAUAUGAGGCGUCCUCCUGCCUCAAAGAUGAUGAAUUAAGUGAAGUUGUGGAUAUAAUAUGAAAUGCACCGCUCUGGAUAUAAUUUGUUUCAGCUUGAUUUAAUAAUGAUAUACACACAAGAACAAUAAGCUGACUCGUAUUACCCCAAAAAAUUUUCGUCAUAAUCCACUUGAUUAUAGGAAGAAGCAAUAGGAACCCAAUAGUACAUGAUAGAGUUCCAAAAAUGCAGCGCCACGAAUAGAAACAGCAACAGCAGCCAAGCUGCUCCUCCCACAUGAUUUUGCUUUCCUUUACGCAUCCCUAUGUGAUUCUCAUAGCAGCUCAACAGGUUUAAACUGCCUUUUAGAAGAUAUUUCAGGGUCAAGAACUUGGUAUCAGGGGGAGGUCUACAACUGUUUAUGAAUGUAGUGGAAGCUGGAGGUUGUAGUCACUAAGAAAGAACUUGGUAUCUGGGGGAGGGCUUAUAGGGAUUAUUAGACAGCUAUUUAUGAAUGUAGUGGAAGCAACAGGUUGUAGUCACCAAGUUAUGCCAUGGUUGGAUUAAAUGGUCAUAUUUUGAUCAAAGUAAAAAUAGAAUGAAAGGCAAAGAGCUUGCUUUGGUUAUUGCAAAAAAAAAAAAAUGGCACUAAGACCUGUGAAUAUUUUGAUUCAGCUCUCCUGAUUUUGAAAAUUCUUAUUAGAGGUUUUUUUAUCCAAUUGAAAGGGAAAAAAUGCUUGCAUUCUAUAUUUUUAAAGAAGAGUUGUGUUUAAAUUUAAGAAGCAUUGAUAAUUGAUAUCAUCAUGCUUUGACUUGCCAUGCAGGAGUGGCUACUGGUUUUGCUGCUAGAGACAUCCUUGGGAAUGUCCUCAGUGGGCUAUCUGUACAGAUCUCACGUCAAAUUUACCACUUAACUGUUGGGGCCUCCACAUCGUUGUCCUAUACAUGUGAAGUAGCUUGCAUACAGUCUCAUUUUUUGUUUUAAACAAGUACCAAGAAUUAAGAAGAGUAUUUUUGAAUUGCUCUAUUGCUUGGUUUCAGAUGUCUAAAAAUGAAUGUUCAGUGCAUUUCCAGCAAUCUUCAGCUUGUAGUUCUUGUUCAUUGAAAUUCAAAGCAAUGACAUUCAUCGCAAGAAAUUGCUCCUUGCUUUUGCCCGUGUCAAAUGGCUUAACCUCAGCUCUCUCUCAAGUUCCUCAACAGGAUUAAGAAUCCCUCUUAAUUAGGUUGUUUUAGUUUAACUCCAUUGAGGAGGGUACAUACAUCCAACCCGGCCUUGGUUAAUUUUCUUACUAUGGUAUACUUUUGAAGGUGGUGCAAUACAACUCAACUACCGCAUUCCAGUGUACUUUUUUCUUUAAUUUUUUUUUGUGGUCUUUUAUUGAGCAAGCAUGUUAGUUCCUUCCAAGUAAGAAAUGUCAAAAAAGAUAUAGAUGCAAUUUGCAAGUUCCAUAUUCCAAAUCAACCAUUAUUUUGAAUAUGAACACAGUUCAUUAAUUCUUGAAUUGUUAGUACAAACACCCUCUACUUGAUUACUUUUAUAUGCCAACAAGCAUUUGCUUAUCAUCACUCUUCACUAAAAUAUGUGCAUAUAUAGAUAGCCCUGUGCAUUUCCACUCUCCUCGUUGGACCGCAGAGCAUAGAAGAACAUAUCCACACUAAAGUAAUUAGGCAACCAAUUCGGAGCAAUAAUGCCUCUUCUCAAAAACAUUCAUAUGGCUUAUCCAUAUUAUUCAUAUGGAUUUAUUCCUCUAUGAUAAAUGCCAAUGCAAAAACAAAAAUGAUCGUGAGCUCCUAAUUAAAAAAAAAAAAGCAAAUUUUGAAUAUAAUUUUCUAGGAAUUUACAUUUAUCGAAUGCGAGAUCCAAAUUAUUUAGUCCUCGCACUCAAUGAAUGCAUAAACAAUUAUUUUUUAAAAAAUAAGAUUGUACUAGACAUUGCAUUUAGUAAAUGAGAUAUCUGCAAAAUAAAUAUUUUUUUAAUUAAAAUAUUUAAUUUUUUUAAUUAAAUAUUUAGUACUCGAAGAAAACAAAUAUUUUUUAAAUUUAUAUUUGAAGGAUCUCGCAUUUAUUAGUAAAUGCGAGCUCCAAGAAAACAAAUUUACUAUUACAUGCGAGCUAUAAAAAAACAAAAAUAUUUUUUAUAUUUACUUUUUUUAGGAGCUCGCAUUUACUCAUAGAAAAUAAAUAUUUUUUAAAGGAGAGCUCUGACAGGACAAUAUUUUUCAUUUCGUGACAGCUCUAACAUAAACAAAAAGAAAAUGAUGUCUUUGUUGAUGGAUUUCAAUUUUCAACAAUCAGUGCAUUAUCAUAUGAAAAUGAUGGUUAUCUACUGCCUAUUUCUUUACAUCCUUAUUAGCACUGAUAAACAAACACUAUAUUGAGAUUCCUUUCCUACGCUAUGACAAUAAACUGGUCCCUGGGGCAAGAUAAAUCACUUCCUUUGGUCUAAAAGCAAGGUUCGUCAACUGGCUUCAAGUAGACAUACUGAAAUAUUAGCAAAUUCUGCCAUCUGUGUCUUGAACACUAUCUUUGGCUUUACCAUUUGCUAUGACAGGCAAAUUCUUCAGUUCUUCAGAGAGCACGAAUGUUCCCUUUCUUGAUUUUUUCCUGUUAUCUUUUCCAUGAACAAGUGAUACUAAAUUUCUGACUAUGGAUUUUGUUGUAGAUAAACUGUAAUUCGUUGUACCUUUCUUAUGUUGCUGCAAUGGAUUCCAGUUACCUGAAAAAUGUGUAAUCUGAUAAUUGUACAUGUCAUUUUGCAGGCACUGGAUGCCUUUAAUACAGCUGUGGUGUCCCCAGUAUAUUAUGUUAUGUUUACAUCCCUCACCAUCCUAGCUAGCAUUAUAAUGUUUAAGGUACUUUCAUUUGGCUUUUAUUAUUAGCUUUUUCCUUUCGUGUAUAUAUAUAUAUAUAUAUAUAUAUAUAUUUUAGUGUUGUGGAUUGGGAGGAGGAGGGACGAAUCAGAGCAACAAAAGGCUGACUUUCAAACUUUUCAUGCAGGACUGGGACAGUCAAAAUGCAUCGCAAAUUGUCUCUGAAGUAUGUGGCUUUGUGACUAUCCUGUCUGGAACAUUCCUUCUCCACAAGACCAAGGACAUGGGAGGUGUAAGCAGCACUAGUAACACGACCGUGCCAUCUCCUGUAUUCCUGGCAUCACGCCAGAAUUCUGGGGUCUGAGCUUUGAGAUGAGAUCGCAUUCUGCGGUCUGUGGUCUGAGCACAGUGACCUCGUAUUUAAGAGAUGCGAGGUAACUGACCUCGCAUUUAAGAGAUGCGAGGUCUGGUUUUCUUUUUUCUUUUUUUUUUUUGGAUUUCGUUGGAGGAAAAUUCAAGAGACUUCGCAUUCAGCAAAUGCGAGUUGAGGGAGCUCGUAUUUGCUGAAUGCGAAGAUCCCUUGGAUGGAACCCCACACUCAAAAUGCCCCAUUUGUAGAAUUUUUUUAAAAUUCAUCAUAAUUUUAGAAAUUUCUCAUCAACUUAUACAACUAAAUUGAUGCACAGUUUAUAAUUACUUCAAAAUUGUACUAAGUUUAUACCAGAAGUAAUACAAAUUAUAAUAAUCAGUUUGAACUCGACGUUUUUCAACUUGUGAGGUCAGAUCCCGAACACAGACUAAUUUUUUGCUAUAUAUACAUGUCAUCUUUACUCUUUUCAAACACGAAUUGCAAAGAGAUUAAAGAUUGGAAAUGGCUAAAUCUCAACUGAUCAGCUACAAGACCUUGGUUGCAGUCCUCUUCUGCUUUCUCCUCAUUGCUUCAAUCGGUUAGUUGUCAAAAACUUCCACUAUUUAUACCAAACUUUGCAGUGAAUCACGCACCUGAAGUCAUUCUUUAUUCCAAUUUCCCAAGUAUGUAAUGCUCUGGCAUGUUGUCAUAUAUCAAUAUUACCAUUACAUAACAAAAUUUUAAAAAGAAUUAGUAUAGUACUUAACUACUAAUAAUAGUCUUAAGUCCAAGAGAGAUUAUCAAAGUUGGAUACAAAAAUGCAACUCUCUUGCACUACAUAAACAAAUGGAUUUUUGUUUAUUUUCUGAGAUGCGGUCAUCAACUUUUUCUUUUCUGUCAACCGGCAUUUAUAACUUAGCCCCUCACUUGUUCUCGUUCUUUACUUAGGCCUACUAUACUUCCUUAUGAAAAUUAAGAGUUGCAUGAAAACCACAUAUUUACAUUAAUCUUUAGGGCCCUUUAGAAACUAUUAGAAAGGGUAAACUUGAUUUAGCUUUACUAAGCAUCAUGCUCUGAUCACAUAAACAAAAACAAUUAACAAAAAAAACUGAAAAUUUUUAACAUGUUCUUGCUUAUUGUAUACAGAGUUACAGAUGGCGGAGGUAGUAGGAAAAAUUUGCUCGAAGCGCAGCCAGACAUGGACUGGGAUAUGCAUAAAAACUGAGAAUUGCGAUAGCCAAUGCAAGAGUUGGGAGGGAGCUCAGCAUGCAGCUUGUCACAGAAGCGGCUUUGGAUUUCCUUGCUUCUGUUAUUUUAAAUGCUGAGGGAAAUCUCCAUCUUUGGUUCCAUUAAAACUGUCUGUGUUUCCUGUUUCUGGAGUUACAAAAAGCUAGCUGCUGCACAUUCCCAAGAUUUGCAUGUAGAAAAUGGGAACAAAUGCUAUACUAGGCAUAACUAUGAACGUCCAGAGAAGUUUUACUAUUGCUAAAUAAGGAUAUGGCAUUCCCAUUUGAUCUGUUUGUUAAUGUUAUUUCUUGUUAUCCUAAUAUUAGAAUAUUAUGCAAGAAUCUUGUAUUGAAUUUUAUUUUCUAAUAUAAAAGGUCAUGUAAAGUCGGCUGCCACAGAUGACCAUGGCAAGGUGCCAGCGAAAGUGAUUGGGAAGACGUCUACCUUGCGGCUGCAGAUGGCCGCGGCUGAGCCUCAGGCGGGACCGAUACUUACGAACCUUGUUCCUAUCAGCACGAAGGAUAAUGUGGGAGGGCAGUCCAACGAGAGUCUUGAUGGGGCAGUUAUGCGACCACCCACUAUAGAUAUGCAUCCAGAUUUUGCUGUGGGGAAGAGUGUCGCGGCUGACAGUCAGGCAAUGGCCGCCGUGGAAGAGACAAGCGAAGGGGAGGUGACUGCCUUGCCUGGGACUGGUGAGGGGAGCAUCAAAUCUAGUGGAAAGGGGAUGGCAAAGGAGGCUGGUGGGGUGCAAGCAAAAGGGCGGACAGCAAGGGAUUUAGCUGACGCAGGGAGGACUGAGGAACUACAGGAAACUCAGCGACGGGUGGGAAAUUUAUCCCCUAGGGGCGGAUGUCACAGGAAUGCUGUUCAAGGGGAGGCGUCGCUGCUGGAAACAUUGCAUAUAGACCCGGUGGUGAUCUCUGGCAACCAUGAGUAGGAGAAAAUGGGACUGAAGGAGAUGUCCUUUGCAAAGUCGCGAGGUAUUCGUGCAGGUUUCCCUUCUGAUAGAACUCUAAGAUCCAUGGUUAAUGCAUCAACAAAUUCCUUCUCUGUCUUAUCUGAUGAUUAAGUUGCUUUUUUGGAAUAUAAGGGGAGUGACUUGAGCUCAUAAUUUAAAAAGACUGAGGAAACUUAUCAAACUGUACUCAUUACAAUUAGUGGUAAUUGUUGAACUAAAGACGGGGUUGGAGAAUAUUACUGAUAUUAGACUAAAGUUGGGGAUGGACUGUUGCAUAACCAAUCAGUGGGGUUCUGUUUGGGUGUUUUACUGGUCUUUGUUUAACUGUUAGAGUAUCGGGAAGUCGCCCCAAUAUUUAACUAUUCAAGUACAAUCUCACCUAUUUCCAGCUUCCAUUAGUUUGUCAUGUAUUCAUACUAAACGCACGGACCAAGAAAGGGAUUUCAAUGUGAUUACAAAUGAGGGGGAAAAAAGGGGCAGUUUGCCAUUCACACCGACGGAAGGAUUGGAUUUCUUGAAUUUCAUGUCAGUGGCGGGAGUGAGUGAUGCGGGGUACUCUGGGUCGAGGUAUAUCUGGUGUAAUAAUCACUCGAGUGCAGCUCGGAUUUGGAAGCGCCUUGACAUACUACUAAUAAGUGAGUUAGCUUUGGAGAUGCAGCAACAAGUCAUGGUCCAGCAUUUGGGGCGUGAUCCAUCAGAUCACUCCCCGUUACGAGGUUGGACAAUAAACCCAGGCCAUUUCGCUUUUUGAAUGUUUGGACCACACAUAAGGACUUGUUGGGGUGGUUAAAGAUUGCUGGUCUUAAUCGGUCAGUGGGUGUCCCCUGCAUAUAUUGGCAAUGAAGCUUCGGAAUGUUAAACAAUUUCUCAAACAAUGGUCUAAGAAUUUGUUUGGUGAUAUUUUUGAGGUAGCUCGAUGCACAAAGCAUGAGGUAGUGGAUGCCGAGAUGAAAUACGACCUGAAUCCCUUGGAUCAAUUGCGCUGUGAGCUGCAUCAUGCUCGAGGGCGGCUACGGCGCGCGCUGACACUCGAGGAGGGUUUUUGGAGGCAGAAAGCACGGGUGAAGUGGCUUUUGGACGGGGACAGGAACUCCAAAUUCUUUCACUUAGUGGUAGUAGAAAGGAGACGUUGGGCAGUGAUUCAUCGGAUUAGGAAGGCGGAUGGAGAGUGGAUCGAGGAGGAGCCACAGAUUGGUGAUACGGCGGUAUGCUUCUUCUAGGAGCUUUUCAAGGCAGAGGGAGGCUCGACAUCCAAUGAAAUUUUAAAGUUCAUUCCGAAACUGGUCACUGCCCAGGACAAUUCGCUGUUAAUGGAGAUUCCUUCUCUUCAAGGCGUCAAGGACAAAAUCUUUGCACUGGAUGAGGAGAGCGCAGCGGGCCCAGAUGGAUUCACAGGGAAAUUCUUCACCUUCGCAUGGGAGAUGGUAGCCACGGAUGUGUACAGGGUGGUAGUGAGAUUUUUCUAUGGUGCUGAGCUCCCUCAGAGUAUCACAGCUACCUCAAUUGUUCUACUGCCAAAGGUGGAAAACCCACAAGACUUUACUCAGUUUCGGCCCAUAAGUCUGUGCAAUUUUGCUAGCAAAAUCAUCUCCAAGUUUCUAUCGAAGAGAUUGGCUAAGAUAUUACUCCGGAUCAUAUCUCCACAGCAGAGCGGUUUUGUGCAAGGGCGACAAAUUGCGGAUAAUUUUUUGCUAGCUCUGGAGUUAUUAACAGAUAUCAAGAAGACAAAUCGAGGUGGUAACGUGGUGAUUAAAUUAGACAUGAUGAAAGCAUAUGAUAGAGUCUCAUGAUAUUCUCUUCUGCAAGUGCUUCGUCACUUCGGGUUCAGUGAGACUUAGAUAGACAUGACAUGGCACUUGGUCUCUAAUGUCUGGUUUUCGGUAUUGGUUAAUGGCUCUCCACAAGAUUUUUUCAAGUCUUCAUGGGGCUUACGACAAGUGGAUCCCAUAUCGCCAGCCUUAUUCAUUAUUGAAGCAGAAGUGUUGUCUCGAGCCCUAAAUACUUUAGUCACACAGUGGCGAUUCACCCCUUUUAAACUACCUCCUCAUUGCCCUAUAGUAUCAUACUUGGCGUACGAUGAUGAUGUUAUCAUAUUCUCCAAUGGUAUGAGAUCUUCUCUAAAAUCGAUUAAAAGGGUACUGGAGGAAUAUAGUGUUGCAUCAAGCCAAUGGAUCAAUCCCCAAAAAAGCUGCUUCUUGACUCAUCCGCGGUUUCCGUCACAGAGAGCAGCAUUGAUUGGAUAGGUACUUGGGUUUCCAAAGCGAGCUUUCCCGAUACUAUACCUAGGAUGUCUGUUGUACGUAGGAAGGCGAAAAAAAGUUUACUUUGCAGAUAUAUAUAAUGCAGUGGCGGCUCAUAUCCUGUCAUGGAUGAAUCAGGUUUUGUUAGCCAGAGAUAGAGUGGUAUUGAUUAAGACUGUGUUAUCCUCAAUGCCGAAUCAUUUGCUCACAGCUUCUUCUCCUCUAAAGGGGAUAUUCGUGGCAUUAGAGAAGUUAUUUGCAAAUUUCUUAUGGGGGUCAUCUGAUUUUGGUACUAAAUUCCACUAGAUGCGGUUGAAGGAUUUGUGUCGGCAGCGAGAAGAGGGGGUAUUGGUCUACGUGGUAUUAGGGAGGUCUACGACUUAAUCUCGAUUAAACUCUAGUGAAAAUUUUGACAAUAGCAGUCGCUAUGGGCAGAGUUUAUGUCAAGAAAUUAUUGCGUGGGGUUGAAUCCUUGUCUAGUUGAGGAUAGCCAUUGGAAUUCCCAUACGUGGAGGAGGAUGGUUGCGGUGCAGCAAGUAGGGGAGGACCACAUUAGCUGGAUCGUACAGCAAGGAUCGAUGGAUUUUUGGCUUGACAACUGGAUGGGAUCAGGAGUCUUAUGCAACAAGGUGGAAAUCUUCCAUGACCAUUUGGUGGCUGAUUUUGUCGAUCGGGGGGGCUGGAAUGUCGCCAUGCUUAAUCAGUAUUUGGAUGCCGCUCUAGCAGGGUGAGUUUUGGAGGUUGCACCCCCAUCCUCCCAUCCUUUUAGGGCAAUGAUAGAAUGGUUUGGACCUUGACAAAUUCUGCCACCUUUUCCACAUUAUCGGCCUACUCACUUGUCGAACGGGUUACUAACAGCUCAUGGCUUUCUGCCUUUGUCUGGCAGCAGUCUUCCAAUUAAAAUCUCUUUCUUUAUACUGCGACAGCUGCAGGGCGGGCUCCCUCUUAAGGACCAAUUGAGGAGAUUUGGGAUAAGCAGCCCCUCUAGGUGUUGGUGUUGCCAGGAUCCACGGGAGGAGGACCCGAAUCAUGUUUUUUGUUCAAGAAAAGGGGCAAGAUUGGUUUGGUGUCAUUUCGAUAUUAAUGUUGGUGAAAUGAGGGAGGUGAAUACGGUGCGACAUAUGGUAUGGUUUUGGUGGUUAAGGAGAGGGGAUAACAUAUAUUUGAAGUUUUUGAAUAGUGUUCUCCCGUCGGUGAUUUGCUGGGAAUUAUGGAGGACAAAGAAUAGGAAGGUUUUUGAAGGACGGAGAAUGAGGGUCAGGGAGACUGUGAGUCGGAUAGUCCAAUUGCUAAGUGACAUCUUUCAUGUACAGCUCCCGAGGAUUUAGUGGUCAGAUUCCUCGUGGGAAAAGAUGCUUCGAGAGUUGGUUAACCGACAAAAGAGGAUGAUCAUUCAGUCGGUCAGGUGGGUAUCCCCGCAGGGGGGGUACAAGUUAAAUUCGAAUGGAUGUUCUCUGGGGAACCCAGGAUUGAGUGGAGGAGGUGGUCUAGUGCGUGAUUGUCUAGGUAAUUUUGUAUUUGGUUACUCGGAGCACUUUGGGACAAUGACUAGUCUGCAUGCGGAGCUUCGGGCGCUGCUACUUGGCGUUAGAUACUGUAUUACUCGAGGGUACUUGGAGUUACACUUAGAGGCAGAUUCUCUUACCCUUAUUUGGAUCGUUCAAGGGGUUAGUGCUUGCCCAUGGCAGUUGCAGAGGGAGCUGGAUGAGUUGCUUAUGUUUAAACAACAUUUUCAAAUGAUUUCACAUUGUUACAGGGAAGCGAAUGCUCCUGCUGACCGUCUUGCAAAUUUGGGUGCUGAUUCUAAUGCAGGUCAGGUGUUUAAUAGGUUUUCAGAUCUACCACGAUUGGUCAAGGGGGGAUAUUGGAAUGGAUAAGUUAGGGUUUUCAUCAUUUCGUAGACAAGUAAUUGGUUAUCUGUGAAUGUAUUCAGCCAGUGUAAGCAUGAUUACAACAUUAAUGGAAAGUUCAAUUUUUUUCAAAAAAAUAACGGACAAAAGCACUCUUCAUGUCCAGUUGGCUAUUGUAUUGCAUGGAGUGAGAUGUGAUGGUACAUGAAGUAUCUAAAUAAUUUUGGGAUAUGAUGUAUGUGAAAAGAAAACUAUUUUUUGGAAUAUUAUUUAUAUAUCAAUUAUGUUUGGUACUUUUUUCUUUACUCUUUACUUUGUUCCAUUUUACAUUUUUCUUAUUCUUUUCUGUCUUGUAUGACUAGUUAUUUUAAUUUUUUAGUAUUAUUAUUCGUAUAGUAUUUUUAAUGAACUUCAACUUAUUCUCUUUUCAUCUCUUUUCUAUGUUCAAUUAUUAGUAGUAACAAUAAUUGCAAAGCAUAUUUUGUAUGGUAUUCAAAUUAUUUAGGUAUAUCUAAAACAAAUGAGCUUAUAACAAAUCUAAUUAUUAGUAGUAAAGUGGCAAUUAAUAAGAUUAAAAUAAAAACAAAAAUAUUAGUAGCAGUAUAUUAUUCGUUAACGACACUUUUUUAGAAAUUUUUUACUCAUUUGAGAAGAUAAAAUUUUUGUACUUUUUGUUUUCUUUUUGGAAAACAAAAUUAUUCUAAAUAAUAUUUUGCUUGCACUACAAACACAAUUUCCAAUCAACUUUUUAUUUUUCCAAUCAUUUUUUUUUACAUACAUCACAUCCCAAAAAAUACUACAAUAGUUAUUUCAAAUAAUUUUCUUCUUGGAUUGUGAAUAGUCCAUGAAGUGCAUAGAGGUGCUAUUCUUCCACACCUACAUCUUGAGCAGAAGUUUGUUGCUUCAUAUGCAUUGCCUGAGCUACAACUGUUAGGAUUGUGCUCCAUGUGUGUAGAAAACUGUGCGGCAUCUGUGAAGAAAAGGAAAUAAAGGAUGUGAUGAAGAUGAUAAUAAAUGAGCAGAAUGGACAAGUGAUGGUAGGUGGAGAUAGCCAUUUAUACUCAUUUGGAAGGAAGGCAAUUUUGUUAGGAAAUUUCAACAGACAGAGCUUGCAAGACACGCGCUUUGUUUGACCAUGAAAUUUGUGAAUGAUAGUUUUCUUAGGGUGCAAAGUACCUAUAAACAUACUUUGGGAUGUAUUGUGCAAUAGUUAUAAAAGUUCAAGACAGUUUUUUGCAUUUAACCUUUAUUUUUAUCUUCUGCACAAGAACUAUAUUGAUCAAACUUUAAAACAUGGAGGUUUUUGACUUAAUGGGAAUUAGGUUGUUUGUUAGAAAGAAGCUGCAAAAUGGACUAGAGAAAGGUGGAGGCGGUUUGGGAUGUAAAGAUUGGUAGUUGAUGGAAAUUUUGUUUUGAGAAAGCAUUGAGGUUGAAUUUCUUUGAAAUAUUAGUGUUUGUUUAGGGUGAGAGUUUUGGGGCAAGGUGAAGAGCCCUGGUUGGGAUUUUUUGGCUGCUGGAUUGGUUUGAUUAUAUUGGAUCAAAUUUGGGUUUUCUAUAUCGGCAGAAGUGUGGGCCUUCCAACCUACUUACUUUAAUCCUUAAAGGAUUCCCUUGAUUGGGAAUAUAUUAUAAUUAAGAUUUAAUAUUAGCAAUUAGGAGUGAUCUUUACCUAUAACUAUCCAUUUAAUAAUAGAAGAAAAGGGCAGCUUCCACACCACAUUAAAAAAAAAUGCAAGCUUUAGUUGGGGAAGCGCUUGAGCACUUAUGAAGCUUGGGUUGACAAUUGGAUAUCCAGCACUGAAAACCGUUUUUACAUUGGAUGGUUUGGUCUUUUGAUGAUCUGAAGUUUGUUUGGAACAUAAAUGGUUCAUGGAGUCGAGGAAGGAAUUAGGAAACUUUGUUUUCUCCUUUUUUCUUUUCAAUUUGAAAAGGGUAAUUUAGGAUAUUUGAAAAAAAUUUUAGUUUGACAUUAAAAGUCAGGGAGGUUUGUGCAAUUUAAAAAUUUGAGACGAGCAAUAUGAAAUUUUUAGAAACCACAAGGAAGGUUCUGAAAUUAUUCCCUAAUAAUAAGCUUGUGGUCUGUACUUAUUGGUAGGGUGAGAAAUUUUAUUCAAUGUAGUAGGGGGCAGGGUCAGAGCUAUUUACAUUUGAGGGUGGGUAAUUGCUCCCUCAAAUUUUUAAAAUUUCCUUUUAUACCUUACAAUUAUUGUCAAUUGUAUUUUUAUUUAGUUAUAGUUUAAUAGUUUGUAUCCUCUCAAACUACCGAAAUUGUGUAUUGCACCCCCACAAACAAAAUAAUAGUGGGUACUUACUAAAAUUUAAAUUAAUCAAAACCCCAUUAUAAUAAGAAACAAGUGAAGCAAAAUCCAAAAAAUAUGAAAUAAGAUAAUACAUGUAUAAAAAGUCAAAUGAUAUGAUAUUAGAUUGAAAGAAAUAUUAAAGGGAUAGCCAAUUAUAUUUAUUGUAUUGAAGAGAUAAAAGAGCUAAUUAUGGGGAAAGAAGAACAAAAAAAAAUACACGUAGAAUAUUUCUACGUUACAAAAGAUUUCUCAGAAUAUUUCUUUGUUUGCUAAAUUUGAAUUAUGCUAUACUAUUACUUCUUUAUUUGGUUGAUUUAUUAACUCACUCUCUGAUUAUUUGUAAUUGUAUAACUUAUUUGGGUAUUAAAUACACUGCAAUUUAAUACUCACUGAUUGUGCAUAUAAUUUUGUAAAACACAAAUACUAGUUAUUCAACUAACUAAUAAAACACGAAGAAAUGCUAAUUCUAAUUUUGCUUUUCAAGAAAACAUUUCUUAAGAUUAGUCGCAUUAUGCUAACUAUCAAUUAAUAGUACAAUAUAUUACCCAUCAUAUAAGAAAUUAGGCGUUUUCGCAUCUUGUAGUUGUCCAUACCAUCAAGAUAGUUGUUUUGAGCCUUGACCAAUUCCAACUACCAUCAAUAUUGUUGGCUCUCAAUUCAAUCCUUAUAUUGACCAACAAUAAACAAUUGUCCCUCGUGAUUUUGGUCAUGACUCCACCAUUUUGGUCGUGACUCCGCCAUGCUUUGUUUCACUUACGAGUUACAAAGGAGGAAACAAAGAAAGGAAAUACAAAAAAUUUCUCAUCCUUUUGUUUUUUAUGCAUGCAUACGUACAAUCGUGCCAUUCCUUGGAAAUUUGCUCAUACCACACUAUUGUGCUAUUUUCUCUGAAAUUUUCAACAAUCAUGCGAGCAGUAAGAAACUAUUUCUAAAGAAAUGGCACUAUCAAAGAUAUAUUGACUUAUAUAUUAUAAUCAUGCUGAAGCUCCAAGGAAGAUUACUUGACAAAGAAACGUUGGGGAAGAAUAAUUUUAUCUGAACGACUUUUUUAGUGGCAUAUAUUAUGUCUUGCACACAGGCAAUUAAAAUUUGAAUAUGGAAGUUGAAGAUUAAUACCUAAUUACUCCGUGUGCUUUUGAAUUAAAAGGAUGAAAAUUUUGUUUCCAAGAAUGGCAUUUACACAAGGAGGCGUCACCUAAUAUUUACAUCCGGCUACAAUAUUUCAGUUUUACUCUAAUAGUAUCUCGAGGCAUCCUUUUAGAGCAAAACUAUAGAAAGUGUUUGUUUCUUGUUAUAAAUGUUUCACGCAACUUGAUAAUUUGACUCUCAUUUAUUAUAACUGCCUGAUGUAUGUUGCGUAUUGGUGUAGGGUGAACAUUACUAUGGAUGCAAGGUUUGAUUUGGUAGAGCUAAUAUAAUACAUGCGUGGAUCGAAAUCAAGGACACUAUAUUACCAUUAGUCAACUAUCCAAACUUAUUACUAAUUAGCGUACAGGUUUGGUGUAGUUGGCAGGCUACCUCUAAUAUUAUAUUGUCUGCGACUUUGUCUCCUCAAGAUAAUCGAGACGGGAUCAAAUAAAAGUUAUUAUAUCAGGGUUAAGAACUAUUUCCAAUUAUUUACCAAACUAGGUUUUCAAGAUUACCAGUGAAUACUAUUUCUUUUUUCUUCUUCUUUUGCAUUGGAGAGCUAAAAUCCAUAAUGACGUAACCAAACUCUUAGAGUCAGAAUCAACUAAUUAAAAAAAAAAUAUUCAAAGUUCCAAAAACUCUAAUACAUGUCAAAGUUACACAAGAUUUUUUUUCCAUCUCUCUCCACACCUUUUCCAUCUCCAAUUGGCAGGCAUGAUAUUUGAACCCUGAAUCUAACAGUAGAAAAGAUUUUGAGUGCAGUGAGUAGACUAAUCUCUCAAACAAUCGAUCAAAACAAGAUUCUUCAGUGGUAAGCCUUCAAGUAAUUGAUGAAAUAAGCACCAGAUCUCACAAGAUCUUUCUCAAGAAACAAAAUUUUAAAGAGUUUUUCCUGUAGUUUAAUUUUUAGUAACAAGUAAUGGCAUAUUUUACGAACACAAGGCGUUUGAAGAAGUGAAAGACAUUGAACUAAAGUAAUUACGUGCAAUAAACUGUGAAAAUUAGGGGCUGAAAUUAGAAAACGAUUCUUUCGAAGGAAGACAAAAGUAUGCGUUAAUCCUUAACAGGACACUGACAGCGAUUUAGAAUAACACUAUGCGGCGAAGGAUGUCCAAAUUUAGUUCCCCACAAUUAUUAAGACGGUAGGAAAUUAAGCUAUCUUUUGAUCUGUUCAAAUUUUGUACCGGUCCUAAUGCUAUUAAUUAUGUCCUUGGAUAAGUGAUGUUUGCUGAAUGUACCGGUCCUUAUUCUAUUCGUACAUUUCCUUUUGUUUGAUCUUCCACGGAUAUGAAUGAUUCAAAUUUCAACGUAUAUCAAGUUGUUGAAAAGCUCGCUAUAUGUGCCCUGCUAUAAAUUCUUAUCAUCCUUGAUUUUUUUAUUCCACGCGCUUGGUAAAAUACAAAUAAUGGACAUGGUUAAAUCUCAAGAAAACUUAAAUAGAUCAUAGGUAAAAAGAAUUCUAAAAGCUUAUAUUUCAUCUUCCUUUACUAGAUAGUCUUGGUUGUCAGAAAAUAAAGCACAAGAAUGUCCAUUGAAAACUUGAGGGAUAUGGGGUUCAAGUUUCAAUCCUCAAUAUAAAUUUUGGACAAUGUACAUAUGUAUGUAUACAUUUAUAUACAUGAAUAUGUGUGUGCAAACUGUAUAUGUAUCAUGCAUGCAAUAGCUCAAUUAUCAGCAUUCCAUUGCUGCCGUCCUUUCUGCCUUGUGGCUUCUACAUUCGAAAUUGAUGUACCAAAAUUCGGCAUGCGUCCAUCGAUUGUAUGUGAAAAUGAUGUAACCGUCGAUCCCGCAACCAGAUGAGUUUAUACUUAAGCUUUGCGACAUUAUGCUAAUGUUCAUUAUCUUUUCCACUAAAAGAGGUUAGAAAUUGCUGGACUUAAAAAUUUCAAAUCUUAAUGAUGUUGAUGCUCUGUUUAAACUCCUUUCGUAAGCUAAUUCUGACUUAGACUUUGUCUUAAUUCUUUGAUAUUUGUAGCUUUCUCUUAACAACUCAGCGAUAAGAAGUUUCAACACAACUACCGAUUAGGUUUUGGCAAAUUGCACCAUCUCUUGCUAUAAAUAGUUAUCAUCAUUAACUUGUGUUCUCACAAGCAUAGCUAACAUAAGAUAUCGGAGAUGGCUAAAUCUCAAUUCAGCUGCGCAACCUUCUUUGCCCUGCUCAUCUGCUUCCUCCUCCUCGUACCAAAUAGUAAGUUGUAGCUAGUCUUUAGUAAGAGAGUUUACACUUCUAUAGUCUUAAAUGGUGAACACGUGCAUAGAAUGGCGUAUAUUUGUACAUUCCCAAAGUUUUAAUUAUUUGUCUCUACCUCUCUCUUAGUUAGAGAACUUCGAGUAGAACAAACAGAAAUGGUUGUCACUAGCAACGAAUUAGAAUAGUUAUAAGUGUGUAUCAUGUAUAUGUACACUCACAAUCAAAAUUUUACGAACUAAUUUGUAUUACAUAUGCGCCGUAUGCUUUUCAAUAAAUGUUUUUGCUUAAAGUUUAGCCCUGUACUCUGCUUUUGAAUUUUCUCUCGCGCUUUCUAAUUUCUCGUGACAUGUAAUUAUACUGCAAGUAUACAUGUAUAGUGUUGCGAAUAACAAUACAUGUGGCAUAAAAAUAGAAAAUGGGAUAAAGAUUGACACAAAAAAUGACAUAGAGGAACCAUGCCCUGUAAUACUAACAAACACCUAUCCCUUAGGUGGACGGGCUAGAUCCCUGAUAUAUACCAUACACUUUGGACUAACUCUAAUGUUUUGCUUUGUUUCAUGCAGAGAUGCCAAUGGCUGAAGCUUCAUUUUGCAAGAGGCUUGCCAAGAACUGGUCCGGGGAUUGUUCCUCUGACAGGUGCUACAAUUAUUGCAAGUAUACAGAGCAUGUUUACUCCGGAGAAUGUAAUUGGAAUGGCAAUGGUCAGCAUCGUUAUUAUGCUUGCUACUGUGUCUACAACUGUUGAAAGCCUACUAUUUUCUGCAAUUUGCAACGUACUUUGUAUUCAAAUAAAGGCGAACAAUUCACUAGAAUUGCAUAUGUGCCGCCAAUAGUUGUUGUUCCUAUGUCAGUUGCUAAUAACGUACGGUGCUGUCUGUGUUAUCAUUGAAAAAUCACUGCUCAGUGAUAACUUAAUCAGUCUAUCCAUGUGUGUCUGUUGCGAUCUGUCUUGUAUUCAUUUAAAUAUAAAUGGACUACCUCUGUCCAAGUAUAAGGGUCAUCUUCUGUGAUUUCAACUUGUUAUGAGUACAUGUGAUUAUUAUGUUUGGACUCUGAUAAACACCAAAAAUAUCUGCUAAAGAAUUGGAUGCAAAAAAAAAAGUCUAAUGAAAAAAAAGAAAGAAAGUCAUAUGCACAACCAAUAUUCUCCAUGAAAAACAAAAAAUAAACACUGAUUGAAAUAUAAAAAUUGGCCUUGAAAAUCUUGCACUCCCUAUGUGCCAUAUUUGAGGUUUUUUUUUUUUGUUUUUUGAAAAUCAAACUUUUUAAGAAAAAAAAUGUAAUUAUUAAGUUUGAAUGUACUGAUUUUGGAUGAACCUUAAACAUGGCCCUCACAUGGAGUGUAGUGGCACGCAAAAGGUAUUUUUUUCAAAUGGUAAAAUGGAAAGUUGUGUUGAUUUUGAAAAGAUGACCCUUUGUUUGGAAUAUCCAAAAGGUGAAAACAUGACACUAAAAAAGGAUGGUUAUUUUACCAUUUUACUGUUUUACUUUCCUUUUUAUUUUUUUUGAAGGUUUCCGUUGACUCUGGCUUAGCUUCCUUUAGUUUAGUUGAAUAGAAAACCGAAGACCAUGUACUUUAUUUGUUUUCCAUUAAUUGACAUCAAUAGGGUGGGACACAUUAUAAAAAUUCAUAAUUUUUUCAAAGAGUGAGUUUGUAGGAGUUUUUGGUGAGGCACGGGCCCCAAGUGUAAUUUUUUUUAAAAACUGGAAGUUGGGAAAAUGUAAGGGAAUAAUAAAUAUUACUGCAUGCUAAAGAAAUACAAAAUAAAAAUUAAUCAAAGCCAUAAAUAGGUAUAAUUAUUCUAUAAUUAAAAGAUUGUAUUGUCUUGGUUAUAGGGACUGUUUUCAUUUUCUUUUACAUCUAGAUUUUAGAUUUUUUUUUAAACCAAAAAGGUCAAAAUCUAGAAUAUACCUAGGACUUAACUUAAUUGAUUCUGAUUUUUUUUCUCCAUAAUUACAUUCUAUGAUCAACUAUUGCAAAAUUUACAACAAACAAGAAUAGGCUAAAAGAAGCAUGAAUACCAAAAAAAUAAAAUGCGGAAAAAUUUUCUAUAAUAUAAUUAGAUUGCAGGGAAAAAUUAUAUCAUAUAAUUAUAAAUUAUAAUUAUUUAGUUAAAUAUAAUUAGACCUAUAUAAUAUAUUAUAAAUUUAUUAAUAUUAUAUAAUAAUAUAUACGUAUAUUUAUAAAUGUAUAUUAUAUGUGCAUAUAAUUAUAAUAUAUACAUGUAUGUAAUAUUAAUAAGUUAUAUAAUUAUAAUUAUAAUUAUUAUUUUAAAUAUAAUAAUAUAUAAUAAUAACUAUAUUUAAUAUGUAAUAUAUAUUAUAUUUAUAUAUAUAUAUUUUUUAAAUCAAACUGUAAUUCUUAUUCCACCAAAACAAUCAAUAAGUUCCGCUUACAUAUGCCAAAAUUUUCGAAUAGAAGGCAUGCCUAAUCUAUCCAGCCUGAUUGCCCCGCGGGCCAACCUCGGGAACAUACGAAAGCAAUCAUAGACUUUGACCUGGUGCUCAGGAUGAGAUAUACCCACAUUGGACAACGCAUCAGCUACUGUGUUUGCUUCCCUAUAGCAAUGGGAGAAUCGAGUAGGAUCCUCGACUAACUGCCAAAUUUGCCGGACCUCGCGUCGAAUCUGCCACGGGCACUGGGUACGCCGCUGGAGAACCCCAACUAAGACCAAAGAAUCCAAUUGCACCCAUAGAUUAGUAAAACCCCUAUUAGCACACGUUUGAAGCCCAACCAGAAGGGCCAAAGUCUCUGCGCGAAGACAAGUAGUUAUUCCAAAGAAGGCCAAAAACGCAACCAGGGGUAGCCCCGUUGAAUCCCGAAGAACCCCACCCCCUCCACCCACUCCCGGAUUACCUUUAGAGCAUCCAUCCGUAUUCAGUACCAACCUCCCCCUCUCCUUUGCCUCCCAGCGUACAAAUUUGAAGCUAACACUGGCAGGCGAGUUUGAGCAAUCAUACAGCUGACCAAAUGUUUGCACCCCAAUCCUCUCUUUGAACUGAAUCUCCACAAUGGAUUUAAUCUCCGAGAAGAUGGCUUGACAAAUGGCUGAAGACCGCAUUUGUUCACCCUCAAACAUUGCUUUAUUCCUAGCCUUCCAAAUAUGCCAACAGGUAAAACUUGGCAGGAUAAGGCAAAUAAAACGUCGCAUCUCCGACUUGUGUGAUCGCAACCACCAGUCAACUAUGUGAGCACACAGUGAAGAACCCAGCGAAUUAAGACCACACAGACCACCAAAAAAAGUCCAAACCUCCAACGCUAUCUGGCUAGUAGAGAACACAUGCUCAAUUGACUCCUCCGCCCCAACUUGACAACACCAACAUUUAGACGGCAAAUGAAACCCUAGUUUACAUAAAGUAUCCGGUAGCGGCAACCUCCCCAUCAACAGCCGCAACAUAAAAAAUGACACUUUCAAAGGGAUUCGGGAGCGCCAAACCUUCGAGAAGACCACCGACGUGUUACGGGCCUGCCGCACAUCCCGGAAAGCAGAGGCUAAUGUGAACUCUCCAGAAGGUGUUGGCAACCAAAUGAUUUCAUCAGCACAUCGCCCAUCAGGGAUCGGGUGUUGUAAAAUGGAGGUAACAAUAUCCCGUGGCAAAGCUUGAAGCAAGAGGUUUGCAUCCCAGUGCCCAUUUGACGUGCAAUUGCGAAAUGAGAGAUUCGGAUCAACUGAUGCUCAAAGAAAUAAGUCCCCAGUGCCCAACCAGUUGUCGUACCAAAAGUGACACGACCCGUCACUGACCAACCAAAUCAUGGACAAUUCUACGUGUCGGUGCACGUUCAACAGCCGUCUCCAGACUGCCGAAUCAGUCAACCUCAUUUCUGCUUGACAAGGGUGGGUCCUUCUGCAGUACUUUGCUCGCAUGAAAGUAGCCCACAAUGACGAUCCCGUUCAGAAACUCCACCAGAGUUUACAAGAGAAAGCUAAAUAGACGUCCAUAAGCCUUCGAAACCCCACUCCACCCUCCUCAACCGGAUAGCACAGCUGAGACCACCGUAUCCAGUGGAACUUCGACUCUUCGGGUGAUGACCCCCACAGGAAGUUCGCGCAAACCUUCUCUAUAGUGUUAAACACCUUGCCAGGAAUCACAGCCGUGGACAGCAAGUGAACUGGCAUCAAUGACAACACGUGCUUGAUUAACACCAUCUUGCCUGCCGCAGACAGGAAUUUUGACUUCCAUGACAGGACCCUUCCAAGGAUAGACUGACACACUUCACCAUAAUACGACGAUUUACACCUCCCAAGGUACAGCGGAAACCCUAAAUAACGUAUAGGAAAAGGCUGCCAAGCAAACCUCGUAACACGUUCAAUCGCUCUUCUUCUAGUCGGAGGCAAUGACGGAUAAGCCAAGUAGCCACUUUUCUGAGCAUUUAUCAGCUGCCCCGAGCACCGUUGAUACAUCUCCAACACCUGCAUAAUAUCCUUCAAAGCAGAGGUGGACCCGUUCGCAAAUAUAAUCACGUCAUCCGCGAAUGCCAAGUGAGUUACAGAGGGGCAGCCAUUAGGGACUUUAAACCCCAAGAACCCCGAUUGAACCAUGAGUCCAUUUAACCCUCUCGACAAGACCUCAGCUCCAAUAAUAAACAGGGCCGGCGACAGCGGGUCACCCUGACGUAACCCUCUCAUAGACUUAAAGAAGCCGUAUGACGACCCGUUGAUAAUGAUCGAGAAUCACACAUUAGACAACAACCGCCAUACCAGAUCAAUAAAUCGCUCCCCAAAACCAAACUUCCGUAAUACCCCAAUAAUAUGCAACCAAGACACUCUGUCAUAAGCCUUGGACAUAUCUAAUUAACUUCAAGACGACAUUGCCACCCCUGGCUCUUUUGCCAAUACCCGACACCACCUCCUGAGCUAACUAGUAUUAGUAUAUAUUAAUUAAUAUUAGUUUAUAUUAUAUAAUUAUAAUUAUAUAUUUAUAAUAUAACAUUUGUAUAUUAUAUUUAAUUAUAUAUAUAAUUUAUUUAAUUAGUUACAAACUUAUAAUAAUAUUAUUAUUAUAUCAUAUAAUUAUAUAUUAUAAUUAUUUAGUUAAAUAUAAUUAUACCUAUAUAAUAUAUAUUAUAAAUUUAUUAAUAUUAUAUAAUAAUAUAUUUAUAAUAUGUAUGUAUAUUUAUAAAUGUAUAUUAUAUGUGCAUAUAAUUAUAAUAUAUACAUGUAUGUAAUAUUAAUAAGUUAUAUAAUUAGAAUUAUAAUUAUUAUUUUAAAUAUAAUAAUAUAUAAUAAUAACUAUAUUUAAUAUGUAAUAUAUAUUACAUUUAUAUAAAAUAUUAGUAUAAUUAAUAUUUGUAUAUAUUAUAUAAUUAUAAUUAUAUAUUUAUAUUAUAACAUUUGUAUAUUUAUAUUUAAUUAUAUAUAUAAUAGUUAAUUUAAUUAGUUACAAACUUAUAAUAAAAAUAUUAUUAGUUAUAUGUAUUAUAUAAUGUAUAUUAAUUUAUGUAAUAUAAUUAAUAUUAUCAAUUAUACAAAUAAUUAUACAUGUUUACUGAUAAAAAUUAUUAAUUAGUUAGACUAAAUUUACUAAUACAUUUAUACUAAUAUAUUUAAUUAGUGAAAAAUUUCUUAUAUCCCAUUUACAAAGAGCCAAUAACUAUCAUUUACGAUGUGGUUUAUAAUAGAUUUAUUAUAUUCCAUUCCAAAAAAGUCGACGAACCAAACAUCAACUAUAGUAAUGAUACACAUUCCAAGUACUUGAACCAAACAAAUGUAUUGGAAUGAAUGACCUCAUUCCAAACCCAAGAUAUCCAAUUCCGAAUCCGAAUCUGAUUCCGAUGUGCGAACCAAACGCCACCUAAAUACAUACAUCAUAUUUAUUAUACCUCUGAAUUGGGAUACUUAUCCUUUAAACUCUCCUAUGCACUAGGCCAAAAGUUCAAACACCCGUUUAGUGUAUCACACAAGAAAUAUAGUACUUCUUGUUUUAAAAAAUUCAGAGAGUGCAAUAGUGUACUUGUCCGGUUUGAUUCUUCACGCUCCUAACUCCCACACAUGCCUCUUUAGACUCCGCCCAAUAGAGUAGGAGUAGGAGUAAGUUAAAUAUUUUAGCAGAUAAAAAAAGAAAAAAAAUUGUAAUACUUUUUCAAAUUAACUAUACUUUUCCAAAAAACUAACAAUUGAGCCCCUUUAAUCAAUUGCCAAUGGGUAUCCAUUACCCAAACUAUGAUGGCCCGGUCUCCUCCUAGGGCAUAUCCUAGAAGUUAGCGGACCACCCGCCUGGUUCUCGCAAGGACUCAUUCACUAACAUUAAUUUCAGAGAUAACAAUUCUGAUUAAUCAUCCAAGCAUCCAUUCUUAAUACUUCUUAGUAAGACAAAAGCUUUAUCCACUACAAAUUACAAAAGUGAAUCAUCCAAACGUUCAUUCUUAAAUACAUCACUCAAGUACAUCACCAACUUGUGUGAAAUAUAAAUCUAUCCGUUAAGAGAUACAAAAUGCAGGUCUUAACAUCUAUAUAGAACAUUAGACCUCCCAAAACACUCUAACUCUACUUGAUCAUCCUUCAAACUUCAACCCCUGUAAGGAAAACAAAACUAAAGGGCUGAGCUAAAGCUUAGUGAGGCUUGCUGAGCAAGUUACAUUUAAUAAACACUUAAAUCAGUACAAUUAAGCAAGUAGUACACAUUUCACUGUACAAUCACUUUCAUUAAGUAAUUGAGGAAACACUUCGCUAAACAAUCACUUUUAAAAGGAUACGGCGCUCGCAUUAGAGCUACUUCAAUGUCAUUGAGCAUUCAUUUCAGUGCCAAGAGACAUUCAUUUCACUGUCAUUGUACAUUCAUUUCAAUAUCACUGAACAUUCUGCCAAUUCACCUCCUUAUGUCCUCUAAAACAAUAAACAAUUCACUACAUUCAAUAAUCUGUUCAAUAAUCUCCCAACCUCAUGAUAAUACUCGAGUAUAUCGAAACAUUUACCCAAAGCUGCCGUCCUACCCGACCAAGCCAUUUGCUGGCUCGAAUAGUCCGUUGAACGGAGGGUUUUCGGGCCCAAUUUAGCCAAUCUGAUAAAGUACACACACGGCUUACAGUCAUGCACACUUACAAUAUCACUUGAUCAAUUAUCAACCUUCAAACUCAACUAAAGCGAGUGCGAUAAAGUACACCCUCGACUUAGAAGGCAAGGGACAAUUGAGAUACACUUUGCAAUGAAUCACUUAGCAAUAUUUCAUAAUAAGCACAUUUAUCACAUAAUUUCACUUAAGUAACAUAAACAGUUAAACACAUAAAUUCAGAAACACUCACCGUAAUAAAAAAUUACACUUCGAUCUCGGAAUUGCUUUCUUGCACACCGCUAUCUCCUAAGACAAGUUAUAAUUGCCAUAAUUAUUUAACUACUCAUUUGGUGAGGUUCUAAAGUAUAAUCAACAUACGUGUUGUAUUCUAGCCUUAAGUCACCAUUCCAACCGAAUUCUCAGUUAUUGCUUUGUUUAAAUGAGGCGACUAGUGCAUUUCUUACAUUCACUCAUCCCUUCGACUUUUAGUUUUCAAAAGAGAGGAAGUUUAAGUAGCAAUUCCAGUAUUGUGACUUCAUUACUUUUAUACUGCUAGAUUUAUCGUACUAAAACUCAACAUUAAC